UCUUCAUAUCACAAAAAAUUAUUACCCUUCAAAAAAUUUUCCUUAGAUUGUCACGAUUAGUACGAGAUAUGAAGCAACAACAUGAAUUCAAAAAGGUUUGUGUGAGAAAAAAAGCUAAAUUUACAUCUUCAGAAUUCAAAUAGUUUUGGAUAUUUUGGUUCUUUCUUCAUUUUGGAGCAUGAAUGAUGUCAAAGUGAGUUAAAGGAUAGAAAGUGAUUGUUGCGGUUACCAAGCCAUGACACUGACGCAGUGUAAAAAGAAAAAGAGUACCUGCACAAUAUCUUCUCCAGCUAAAAGUUGAACCUUCUGGGGUACCAUUUUACUGCUCUUGUCACUAUCACCAAACCCAAGCCUGCCAUGUUCUCCCCUUCCCCAGCCAUAUACCUGAAAUAAUGUCAAGAAGAUAAAAUUAUAGCCAAAUCACUUGAAAAAUAUUAACAGAAACCAAAAAACCAGACAGAUGGAAAUAAAGUGGUACUAUUAAAUAUCAAAUAUUAACAAAGAAAAUAAAGGACACAACUGAAAGGUAUGGCCCCUCUUAGUCCUUUACAACAUAGAACCUAUAAUUCCAUGGAGAAUGACCAGUUGCAUCAAUGGGCUUGCGAUUUGGAAGAAGAGGUACAAGGGACAAAGUUUCAUUCAUCUGUAAAGCUGCAAACUCAGUUAAAGCUUGCUUAAUAAACCUAGGUGCUUAUGAGUAAGAAUAAACCGGGGUGAAUGUGAUGCAUAACAAGGCCCAAUGUGGAAUGGAUAAGAUGAAUAUCAUGCGAAUUGUUAGGAGGAGAGUACAACUGACUUGAGGAACUGUAACUAGUGAGGCAAGAAAAGCAAACGGGUUUGCUGGUAACCCUAUCUUCUAUAUAAUCACAUAAGAUUUGUCCUUUGGAAUGGUGUCACUGGCCUGAUUUGCAUAAAGCUAACUUGACAAAGAUCUAAACACAUGGAUGAAUUUCCUCUAGCUUCUCGUAAGGUUAUGAGAGGUCCCUCCCACUAUUUGGAUUGGAAAGAGCUAGGAAGCUCCUAGACUAUGGGGAAGGCAAAAGGAAAUGUGGGAAAUUGUUGUUGGUUUGCAACAAAAAUUAAAUAAGAAACCAAGCCUUAAUAUGGAGGAGGAAAGGGCAAAAGCUGGUGAGAAAAGAAAAAAUAGUGAGUCGAGCAACAACCCUAGUGAUAGAAAUAUUUUUAAAAAUAGAGUUAGUACACAAGCUACCAACAUGUUUAAGAAAGGUUUGAGAGAGGAAGCAUGUCAAGCAAUUGACAGGUUCUUCUAUAACAACAUUGUACCUUUCAAUGUGACAAAGAGUGAAGAAUUUAGUGCUAUGUUUGAUUUGGUUCCAAGACAUGACCUUGGAUUUAAACCUCCAUCUUAUCAUGAGAUUAAAGUCAAAUAUUUGAAGGAGGAAGUUACAAAUACAUCACUUGCUUUACAAGUACAUAGGGAUGAAUGGAAGAAAACGGGAUGUAAGAUUAUGAUUGAUGGUUGGACUGAUAAGAAAAGAAGGAAAAUAAUAAACUUCUUGGUGAAGAGCACAAAGGGAACUGUAUUUCUAAAGUCCAUAAAUGCAUCUUCUAUAUCUAAAAUAGCUGAGAAAGUUUUUUAAAUGAUAAAUAACAUUGUUGAAGAGGUGGGAGAAGACAAUGUCAUUCAUGUUGUGACUGAUAAUGCAGCAAAUAUAAAGUUGUUGGUCAAAUGUUGAUGGCAAAGAGGAAAAGGCUCUGUAAUAUAUUUAAGGGACGACAAAAAACUAACUCAAUGUAAUAUAUUUUGGUUAAUUAUUUGCCUUUGUGGAACAUCAUUGAUGAAAGGUGGCACAAGCAAUUCUAUGGCCUGCAGGUUAUUUUCUUAACCCUCAAAUGCAUUGUCGUCCCUUAAAUCAAAUUUGGAAGUGAAACGAGGUCUAAUGGAAUGUAUAACUAGGAUGGUGGAGGAUGAGGAUGAACAAACUCUCAUUGAUGUUCAAAUUGAUGAUUUCAAAAAACAAGAAAAAGAAUUUGGUUGUCCCUUGGGUACUAAGUCAAUUAAUUUAAAGACUCCAUCAGAUUGGUGGGAGUCUUAUGGUGAUGUGUAUCCAGAACUCCAAAAAUUUGCCAUUCUUGUCUUGAGCUUGACAUCUAGCUCCUUCGGAUGUGAGCAUAAUUGGAGUUCCUUUGAGAUGGUAAGUUAAUGUUCAAAUAUAUCUCUAGAAUAAAAUUAGGAAUCUACUAGUCCACUACUUGUUUACCAUAUUUGUCUUGGAAUUUGUGUAUGUCCACACAAAGAGAAGAAAUAGGCUAAAGCAAAGCACAACGAAUGAUGUUGUUUUUGUUAUGGCUAAUUCAAAAUUAGCUAAGAAGAAACAAACAAGAAAACCGACUCAAAUUAAUAUUGAUGAUUGUUCAUCCAAUGAAGAGUAGUUAUGGAAGAUGAGCAUGAGCAUAGUGAAGCAUUGGAUUCGGAUGAAAAAACUUGGUUCCAGUCAAAGUUGGGGAGGAUGAAACUUAACAUAGUCAUGAUUUACACAUGACUGAUUUGAAUGGUGAAGGAGAUAAAAAUGAUGAUGGAGUUGAAUAUGAAUUUAACUUACUAGAUUAUUUUUUUUAGAUGGAUUAUUAUUUUCUCAUAGUUUUGUAACUAGUAAAGAGUUACUCCUAUUAUAAGAUGUGGUGUUCACACCUAAUUACGUACUCUUUUAUAUAUUAUGAGAUUCAAUUAUGAACUUUGAGUGCAAUAUAAUAAUUUAUAGUGUAUAUAAAUUUUCAUAUUUCUCUUUCCAAUCUUCAGUAAGAUCUUGAUUUUGACUACCAUGCAUAGAUCAUCUAAAUUGCUUCUAUUGAAAAACCAAAAAAGUGUAACAAGCAGCUUACUUUAAUGAAAAAGCUGUUUUCAAAAACAACAAUUUAUAAAUGGUUUUCUACUAUAACAGCUACUUUCAGAAGAAACAGAAAAAUACAAAAUUUAAACAUAUACAGUUAAAUGUAGACUUCAAAUAUUUUAAAAGGAUAUCUUCACAUUAAAAUUUAGAACCAAUAGAUUCUACACACAAAAAAGGAGUACCUCUCCUUCAUCGGUCAAUGCAGUAGAAUGCCAUCCACCAGCUGCAAUAUCAACCUAGAGUUCCAAACAGAUUUAAUAAAAGAAAUUAGAUAUUUAAACUAUAAUCAAAGAUUGACAGUUUGUAGGGUACAGAUACAUAGCAAUCCUCAAUCCCUAUCGCACACCCAAAUAUAACCCCAAUAAAGCCAAUGUUAAAGAGAAAGAAUGCCACUGGAAGCAAGGAGCUAUACCAGCAAGUUGGUAAAAUGGAAAUAAAUGAAAAAUAAAAUGAAAAUUAAAGGUGCUUGGUUGAAGACAAAUAGAGAAGAUAUGACUAAAGAGAUAGAGAGAUGAGUAAAGAUAGUGAGAAAUAGUACAUUGGAUCCCACCAAAUUUAAAAUAUUUUUCCUCGCUUCUUCCCCGCCAACCCAGUUAUAUUAAUUCUAUCUUCUUUCAUCUUAUGAAUUUCUUCAAUACCAAACAAAGGCUAAUCAUUUACAAUAUAUAUCUAGCAUUCUACCUACAUGCAUAAAUUUAAUAAUAUUUGCUUCUGCACCAAAACAGCACAUGAUCACUCUCACACACACACAUGUUAUAACACUAACAUAUGGCUGCAUUCUAAACCAUAUAUCUGAUUCUAAAUCACACAAGUUUAUAAAGAGGAAUAUUCAGAUAUCACCCUAAAAUUUGUCUUAGUAAUUAAGGAUCUAUUUGGUUUGAGAUAUAGGUUUCUUUUCAUUUCCUAUGUCCAGGAAUCAUAACAAAAAAUCAUAUUGUUUUCACUUUAGUUCUUGUUUUACACGUAUAGUGUAUAGGUAAUGGUGAAAACUAAUUCUUUUGUUCUAUUUAUUAUACAAAUCUUUAAAAGCAAAAGUAAGUCUGAAUAUGAAAUGUGAUAUUUUAUAAUUAUCUGCCAAAACAAAAAAUAUUUUCUCAAUUCAAAUAGCAUAAUACACAUUUAUAUUGUUGUCACUUUGUUGACGUGAAACUAGAUAGAGGAUGAGGAAAUAAAUUGGACAGCACAACUCAUUAGAAGGAUAAAUUUACAUUAUUGAGUAUAUAUUAUACCACAUUUAAAAACUACAAGGAAAAUUAGGCAAGCCAUCUCAGUCUCAUGGUUGUCCUAUAACUCAUUUCCUCUUGGCCAAUGGUAGCUUACGAAGCACUACAAAAGGUAUGACAUAGUGAUCCUUUUGUUAACCUUUGUAAAACAAAAUUGACAAAGGAAAAAUGAAAACAAAAUGGGCAUAAGAGGCUAUAUGCACACAGUUAUAUUCAAUGUUGAAGAACUCAAGGAAAAUAAAAGGAUCAGAAGGGGGAUAAAAGAUCCUCAAACUUGACUUGUAAGAGUUACGAGGAUAUGAAAAACUCUAUUUACAGACCUGUGCAUGCAUUAAAAAUAAUAUAGACAACUAAAACAGGUUCCCAUGUCCUAAAACUACUCCUAAUAACUAACAAAUGGCAGCAAGAACAGAACAAGAUAUUACUAAGAAAAAUUAUAGAACAGAACAUAGUUGAAGAUGAAGCCAACAACUGAUGAUGACAUUCUUGUUUUCAUGUGUCAAAGAGAAGACAUGUAAUUUCUUCAUUAUUAUGAAGCUCACAUAGCUUUCUAUGAAAAAAACUCCAGAUAAACUACUUUACUUCCUUUUGUUGGGGCAGCACAAAAAAUCAACCCAUUGUAUCACUUGCUACUUGCUAUAAAAUUUAAGAGUGAGUUCCAAAAAUAAUCUUGAAAUGUCAUAUUCUUGGUUUAUACAGAAAUAUGCAUCACUUUGUACACAUACCAAAAUAUAUCAUUUAUUCAGUCUGCUGACACAGAAGCUGAAAAUAACAAGAUGAUUCCAGAUAAUGAUAUACAAACCAGAGUAAGAUCAGAAAGUCCUUGGACAGGAAUGGGUUGUGAUCUUGGCUGAGUAUCUCCAGUUCCAAGUUGUCCAUAUUCAUUAUUUCCCCAUGCCCAUAAAGUUCCAUCCUCUUGAAAAGCCAAAUUAUGAAAUGCUCCAACAGCAAUGAGCCUCACACUUUCAAGACCUUGAACCCGAACAGGAACUGAAAUCUGUUUUCUGUAAGAUAAAGCAAAAAUAAUUUAGAAGUUAGCAAAAAGUAGAAACUGUUGUUUACUAAAAAUGAAGAAAAACAGCUGAACAAGUAAAUUAAGUUCAUCUUAAGAUAAUAGUAGCAUAGUCUUGUAAAGAAAAUGAAAAGAAAAACACUGGAUCAAGCUAGAUAAUUUUUUUGGUAGAAGAAAACAUGCCAAAUUUUUUUGUGUAAAGUGCCAUCUUUGCUAGAAUUUGAAGCAUUUGUUUGGAGCAGAAUUCUAGUGUUGGAAGCUUCUAGUUGGUAUGGUAUCAAAACCUAUAAUUCAUCUUCAUACCUCAACUCUUUGAGUGCAAAUUAUAUAUCUAUUGAGAACCUUCACUUAAUGUCAAUUGGUUUUAAGAUGAGAUCUGGCAAUUUUAACUUUUUUCAUGAUUGUUUUCUGUUUUGUUCUUUGAAUAGGAGGAUUCUUUAUCGUGCUUUUUUCUUUGCAAUUCAUUCCCUUCAUCUCAAUAAAUUUAUUAUUUUAUUCUAAAAUGAAAAUUACAUGUCACCAGGCGGCCAUGGCUGACCCCAUGUCCAAACAUGACCUUCACGUGUAAGUACUACUGAGUGAGUUCCUCCUGCAGCAACCUACACCCCAAUCAAAUUAGAAAAACAUUAAAGAAAGCAAAACCCAUGCCAUCCUGCAAUGAUGCAUUUGUUACAAUAGAGAUGUAGAAGUAGCUAUACAAACUCAAACACUUAGAAAGCCUUUAUUGCACAAUUACUUUACAGAAAAAAAUCAAAUUCAAUUUAUUGAGCAGGACUACGGGGAUUAAGGUCAUAACAAAAAAUUAUAAUCAGACGUCAUUCAGAUUCACCACAUACACAACAAACUAAAAUGAACAAUUAAAACUGUCUGGAGCUAUAAAUGAUUUUUUCCUUGUCAAAUCAUCACCAAAAAGUCAAGGUGAUAGACUUACUCUCGCUAAGAGCAAAGCACAUGUCACAAAUGUUGUAAAUAGCAGAUUAUUAAGGAAAAAAAUAUUCUCAAUAUCUCCAUAGUAAUUAGGAAAAAAUAUAUUCAGAAACUUCCUAUUUAUUUCAGCAUAUUUUUAUUUCCUCUUUUAAGGGUUUUGGAUAUUACAGAUAGAGAUUACAAGAAUAAAACUGGUGCAAUUGAUAUCAAUAAAAUAAUUCUUUAGUUUUCAACCAAAAAUUUAACCUUAAAAAUUACUGGAAUUAAGCAUUUAAAAUAAAAUUUAAGAAUAGGUCAACUAUAACAAUUUUAUGUUUACCAGUGUAUUGCUUAUUGGAACAUAGGCCAUUUUAGUUUGAACAAGUCUCACAGGGCCUUGCAUGGACAAGAAACAAAAGAAAAUCUCAGAUGUAUCCUUUGCUUUCCAACAUAUCAGAAGCUGUAAUUUGAUCUUCACUUAAAAGAUAUGUAGAAAUACAGUAUCUAUUUUCUUUCUCUGUGGUAAGGUUAACUAGUAAGCAUUGAGCAAAAGCAACUUAAAAAUGUCUGAUAUUCUACUAAGAUUACAUGGGAAUUGUACAAUAAUAACAACAAAAUUACAAGAACUUAAAGCUACCAUAAUGUUCUGUCAUAGACAAAAUAUUGACAGUGUCACUCACAUCUAACUCCUUUGUUCAUGAAUUCACUUAGAGUUCAAAAGGAUGAUGACAGGUAGAUGAAAACUUGCAUAGGAAUUACAGCGACAUAAAAAACUAAUGAAUUUAAGAAAAUAAAUGUACAUCUAACACUAAAGAUUGGCACAAAAACAAAGGCAAAUCACUUUUGUUCCACCAUAGCAUGCAACGCAUUGGAAUACAUAAAUUACCUGCCGAACAACAAGCUUAGGAGCACAGCGUUGAGGGAUCUCUAUAUCUCUCCUUAAAGGUCUAUCCUUGCGCUCAGGUUCUUCACCACACUGCCCAUAUUCAUUUCCACCUGAAAUAAAUUAUGCUAGCUCUUAGAAGUCGUAUAAUAUAUAUAUGCAUAUACACACACACACACAUCAACACUCUUUGAGAAUUUUGGAGCUCUAAAAGGGAAAAAGAAUAUGACAUUUCAUCCAACAUCAAAUUUUUAGUUAUGAAGUAUGUAGUACAGGUACACAAUCCGUGUAAGUAUGCAGUUUGUCACUUUUUACAUUACUAUUAUGAGACUUCCUCUAAAAAGAAUCUGGUAAGCAGUAACUCAGUAACUAUAUUAUGACAUGGUUAUUUAGUAUUAUGAGAUGGUUAUUUUGUCCAAAGAGUCAUUCAAGUAAAAAGUGGUCGGAACAGCAUAAGGUUUAAAAAGGAAUGAAAGGAAAGCAUAUGGCAAUCGAAGUGGAAAACGAGAAGACACUUCACGCAAAAUUAUUUUUGAAGCGAUAUGAUUUUAGUUUGGAUGAUUUUAUAAUAAAAACAAGUUAAUAGUCAAACUAAGUAUAAAAUUUCUAUCCAACACAAAUCCUAUCUAAAUUUGCAUUAAUUCGGAAUCAAUCCCUCAGCAUGAGAUCAAACAAGUGAAGAUUUAAUUUGCUUCUAGAAAAUCUAACAUGAAACUAAACGGACACUUAGUAUGCUUAAUGACGUUGCCACUUUGGACAAUGCUAAUUCUACUAAUCACAAUAAUAAUAAUGAUGGUGAUGAUGAUGAUGAUGAUAAAAAUAAUAAUAAGAACAACGUGAUGGAGAAAUAGAAGCAAAAAGGAUUUAUGGUGUGGAAUGAAUAAUAGUAUAAUACCCCAGGCAUAAGCUCUGCCCUGAUCAUCAACAGCCAAGCAGUGCCACCCCCCAAUAGCCGCCUAACAACCACAAGCUAUUCACUAUCAAUACUCACAUAAUAAGUACACCAUCAAAAAAGAAUAGCAAGGGUAUAAUAAGCAUGAUAAUCAAGAAUUGAAGAAAAGAAAAGAGAAUGAACAAGAUGGAAGGAUGUAUACCUGGACAAUCUUAACACUGGAAAGAUCCUUGACUUGGCUGGGAAUGUUCUCAAUCUUGUUCUCGGACUUGUUCUCAGCUGGGUGCCCAAGUGUGCCCCUUUGGUUCCAACCCCAAGUGAACAACUACAUCACAAGUAACCACCACCCCACCAAAAAAGAUGAGUUUUUGAACGAUACCCACGAUUUAUAAGAACGAAAAGAGAAAGAUACAGAGAGAGAGAGAGAGGUUAAGAUACUUUGCCGUCGUCACCGAUGGCGAGGGAGUUUCUGCUGCCGGCGACGAUGGAGCGGAAACGUUGAGGUUCGAGAGCUUCGACGAGAGAGACCCAUUCUUUCUCUUCGUUGUUGCCGAUUCCUAGUUGACCAUCUUCACCAGAGCCCCUGAAUGAAAAGAAUCAAUCACAGAUGGUCCUUUAAACGAGACAAGAAAAAGAAAGAAAAAAUGGUUAUACAGAAAGAGAGAGCAGAAACCAUGCAAUAAUGCGGGAAUGGGAAUCCAUGAAGGUUAGAGUAGAGUAAGAGAGCAGAGUGAGAGAGACAACAGAGAGUGCCGAAGAAAAUGAAAGGAAGAUUAUCACAAACACUUUGCGUGCGUGGAGCUUACGAGUUAGUGUUUCUGAACACCUUUUCAAAAUGCAAUCACUCUACAAAUUCCAUUACCCAACAAGAAUAAAUAAACCAUUAAUAAACCCAAAGGAAAUUAUAUAACCACUUUACUAAACGUGAAUAUUUAUCAAUUAUAUAUUUGAAUUUACAAAAGAAAAAUAUAAAAAAAAUGGAACUAUGUUUGCAACAUAAAAAAUAAAAAGUUUGAAAUAAAGACGGAAACAUCAGUCUUUAAAAUUAUGGAAAAAAAUAUAUUUAAUACAAAAAAUAUAAAUUAAACUUAAUUUAUACUUAAGGCUAAUUAUUUUUAUAAAUUGUACAUGUUUUUAAAAAAAAAUUAAUUUAUGUAUAAAUUAUUUUACCUAAUAAAAAUAAUUUUUUUUUAUAAUCUUUGAGGAAAAACUAGUUUAAAUAUACCCUUAUGUAAUAUAUUUUGUUUUAGGAAUCAAAACGUGACUUUAAAUUUGAAGUUGAAUAUAAAUGAAAAGGUUGACAAAUAUUAAAAGAAUUUAUAAAAUUAUUAUUUUAAAACUUUAAAAUUUUAGUCAGAAAUAGUGUUAUAUAAUAUUCUAUAUGAAUUCGUUCUUUAGUAUUCGUGUUUCUUCGUCAAAUAUCUUAUAAUUGUAUUUAAAUACUUUUGUUGGAGACCAGAAGUUUCUUCUCUCUUUUUUUUCUUUUUGAAUCUUUAACAAUAUUCCUCAUCCUUGAACAUAAUUUUAUUUGUUUUUAGGAGAGAGAAAAAUAUAUGCACGUAUAAAACCUGUUAAAAUUUCUUCAUACAAAUGAGAGUGAGUAAUGAGAAUUUUUGUUUCAAAAGAACAAGUUGAAAGGGUGAUUUGUAAUUAGUUUUAGAUUAGGAAAAUAAAACAUUGGUAUCCAAAAUAAUCCAAAUAGUAAAGGAAGGUUGUUUUACUUUACAACUCAUAAGCUAUUCUACUUUACAAAUAUAUGCUAAUGUAAAAAGUAAAAUCUUUCAAUAAAGAAGUUUCAAACUUAUUCUUUCACGUGCUUCAAUUUCACCAAGAAGGGAACUACUAUCAUACCAAAUUUUUUGGGUCACAAAAGUACACCCCUAACUUCACCCUCAUUCACAACCAAUGGAAAACAAAUUGCCUUGUUUAAAAAAUAUGCUCAUGCUUUUAUAGAUUAAAUCAAUAGAGUAAAUUUGUGCUAUUACAUUAUUUAUUUUUUAUUUUGGAACUAGUGUAAAAUGGAACACAGUUGUAUAAUGGUAAUAUUUGAGUUGCAUAUAACAUGAGUUAUGCAAGAAAAAUCAGUGUAAUAUUAUAUUAAUAGUACCGAACAUUAAAAUUAAUUGUUGCAACAUAUUUUUGAAAUUUAAUACUUGCGAGGAGGAAACUAUUACAUCAAUUAAGUGGAAUAAUGGAUGUGAUAUGUAUUUUUUACUCUUCCAAAACAAUGUGUUUAAGUCUUUUUCUUUGUAUUUGGAAAGAUAUUACAUCAGUUAAGUGAAACAAACAACUGAUGUAAUAUAUACUUUUCUUACUUAUUCAAAACAACGUGUUUAAGUAAUUUUCUUCGUAUUCAGGAAAGCUAUUACAUCGAUUAAGUGGAACAACCGUUGUAAUAGAUAUGUCCCUCAACCUUUAUUUUGGUUAAUCAUGUUACUCCCCGUUAUUCACUGUGGAGACUUCCCUCGCUUAUUUUGUUUACCACUUCCAAUGUUUCAUUGUUACUGUUGUUGAACUCUAUUGAUGGUUACCACUGUUGAAUGUGAUGUUGCUUUGUACAUGGAGGUUACCAGUAUGGGAAGUGGAGGCUCGCGGUCACAAUAAUGUUAGAGUUGGAAGUUACCGUUGUUGAACGUGGUACUGUGUUGAACAUUCACUCCUCUAGUUCGUUCACAUUUUGUCUUUGGUCACACACUACACCCGUUUACACAUCACCAAAGCUUGCGUCAGUUUCCCCUUACUUAUUGGAAUCAAUGUUUGUAAAAUCGUUUCACUGCUACCGUGGUACUCCACCAAGAACACACUUUUUAGCCCCAAAACCAUUUUGUAAGGGGUGUCACUACUACCAACCAGCGUAGGGCGCCACUGCUACAUUUGCAACCACUGUGAGGGCAUGUCGCUGCAUUACAUUUUUUUAUAUAUAUUUUAAUAAUGUUAAAUAUUAUAUUAAUAUUAAAAUUAGUAUUUCAAAAAAAUUAAAUUUAUAUUAGAAUUUAAAAUGAAUAUUGAAUUUAAAACUCAUACUUUUUUCAUUCUUUUUAUUGUAAUUUGACAUUGUUAAUUGUUAUAUGUUGAACGACUUGGUAUUGGGUAUGAGAUUGUAUUGUGUCUUUUGUUGUAUCGAGUGAACCUUAGUUUCUCGUUUGAGAUUCAAUAUAAAUAUUUAACACUAUCUCCAAUUUUUUAGUUAUUAAUAAGUUUUCUUUAGGUUAAAACAUAAAAGGAAGUAUGUACAUUGUCAAUCUGUCAUUAUGAGGCAAAAAAGAUAUUGUUUUCGAUGGGUAUGGAGUACUAGAAAAUACAUGCAUGUCUUAAUGAUAAAAAGAACCUUAGGUGGCAUGUAAAUGGAAGAAAAUGUGAGGAGUUGUUAUGACAUGUUUUCGAUUCAUCGUAAUGGAAGAAAAAUAAUUUUUUGUAUCUUGAGUUUGGGAGUGAUCCAAGAAAUAUUAGACUUGGUCUUGCAAUCGAUGGAAUGAAUCUUUGCGGUAACUUAAGUAGCAAACAUAAUUCAUGGCUCAUUUUGGUAAUUAUUUAUAAUAUGUCAUAUUGGUGUGUAUGAAGAGAAAAUAUAUGAUGUUAUCUAUGAUGAUGUUAGGACCAAGACAACCCGAAAAUGACAUAUUUGUUUAUCUAAGUCCAUUGAUAGAAGACCUGAGGUUUUUUAUGCAUAUCAAAAGGUGAAUUUCAAUUUGCGUACAUUAUUAUUUUGCACCAUUAAUUAUUUUCCAACAAAUGAAAAUUUGAGUGGUUACAAUGUUAAAUGAUAUCAUGCUUACUCGAUAUGUGAAGAGAACACAAGUUACCGUCAACUAAAACAUGGAAUGAAGACAUCUCACAUUGGGCAUCAAAGGUUUUUGAAACAUAAUCAGCCUUAUCGUAUGUUGAAAUGGAUUUCAAUGGAUGUCAAGAGGACAAAACUACAUCUUCGCCCCUGACUUGUGAGCAAGUGUUGUGCCAAGUUGAAGUGACUUUUGGGAAAAUACAGAAAAAGAGUAGUGUGAAAAAAUAUGGAAAAAGAAAUUGAUAUUCUUUGAACUCUCACAUUGGUCCAAGUUAGAUGUUAGACAUUGCGUAGAUGUAAUGCAUGUGGAAAAGAAUAUUUGUGAUAGUAUAAUUGGGACGUUACAAAACAUUAGAGGAAAGAUGAAGGACGAUAUAAAUGCUCGUAAAGAUCUGGUUGAGAUGGGUGUUUGUUUGGAGAUACAACCACAACGUUAUGGUAAACAAACAUAUUUUCCUCUAGCAUGUCAUACUUUGUCAAAUUUUGAAAAGAUAAGUUUUUGUAGGUGCCUAAGGGAGUUAAAAUACCAUAAGGAUACUCUUCAAAUAUUAAGAACCUUGUGUCAAAGGAAGAUUUGAAAAUUCUAGGCUUAAAAUCUUAUUAUUGUCAUGUUCUCAUGCAAGAUCUUCCCCUAGUAGCUACUCAUGGAAUUUUACCAAAAAUUAGUAAACAAGUCAUCAUUCGCCUUUACAUAUUCUUCAAUGCUAUUUGUAGGAAAGUAAUUGAUCCUAAUAGGUUGGAAGACUUAGAAAAUGAAGUUGUCAUUAUCUUGUGUCAACUAGAGAUGUAUUUUCUUCCUUAUUUUUUGACAUCAUGGUCCAUUUAAUAAUUUAUUUAGUGAGGGAAAUUAGAAUAUGUAAUCCUAUUUUUUUCGAUCGAUAUCCAGUUGAGUGAUGCAUGAAGAUAUCAAAAGGGUAUGUGAAGAAUCCGUAUCAUCCAGAAGCAUCUAUUGUUGAGAGAUACAUUGUUGAGGAAGCAAUUGAGUUUCGUGCAACGUAUAUGUUAGAAGUAGAAGUCGUAGGUGUUUCGAAGUCUUGGUAUGAAGAAAGGAAUGAAGGUAAAGACACACGAGGUGUAAGGGUGGUUCAAAAAGAUCAACAUGAAAUUCUACUAGCACAUUUGUAUAUAUUGAACAAUAAUAAUGAUGUUUUUUCUUACAUAGAUGCACAAAAAAUGUUGUUGAAGUUAAUGAACCCUCGUGCAAAUGAAAAAUUAUUUUUGUCUGAGCAUAAUAAGACCUUUUUGAAAUGGUUUAAAGAUAAAUUGGUCAAAAAGAUUGUGAUGUUGAGGAAUUGAAAUAGUUAGCACAACAACCUAACUUUGAUGUCAUAAUAUGGAUUGGAUAUAAUACUAAUAUAUUGUAUUUUAUACAAAGACUGGAGAUGAAAAGAGUAUUAUGCAAAAUAGUGGUGUUACCCUGGAGGCAAAGUCUAUGUAGUUUUCUAGUUUGAAAGAUAACAUUCAUGUGAUGACUAUUGUAAGUUAUUUUGGAGUCAUUGAAGAAAUUUGGGGGGUUAACUAUGCCAAAUUUAGAGUGUUUGUAUUUAAGUGUAAAUAAGUUUAUUGUGACACAAAAAUGCAUGUUGAUUACUUGAGUUUUACUUUGGGUAAUCUUACAAAGGUAGCUUAUAAGGAAGAUCAUUUCAUCAUGUUACCAAGCAAAACAAGUAUUUUACAUGAAAGAUCCUUCUCAUCAAAUGUGGUCAGUUGUCCUCCAGGGAAGAAUUUAACAUGAUCUUCAUCACCAUGAUGACUCAAGAGUUCAAUCUAUAGAUAAUCCUUCAUUCUCAAGAUGAAUACCUCAUCUGAAUGAGGAAAAUGAUGUUGAUGAAGUACAUGUUACACGUAAUUAUCACAAUUGAUAGCAUCUUUUUCUUCUAGCAUUGUUUUGUUUUGAAUUUUGAAUGGAGUUGUGGAAGCUUACUAGAAAUGGAAGAACAGAAAUAUGUGUUUGAAGUGGAGAAAUGGGUUUGGGAGAAUGAGAGGUGAGGCCAACUCAUUGGGAAAUAGUAUAGGGUUAGCUACAAAGGAGACUACUUUAGAGAGAGAUCAAGAACAAAUGUUUAUGGUAAAAAAAUGCGCAACAUAAUUUUUCUCAUUCAAGCUUAAUUUUAUAAGAGUUGAGCGUAUUUAUUUAUAUGGCCUUAAACGAGAGAGGGGGGGGGUGAAUUGUUUAAGAAAGAUUUUCAGAAAAUUUUAAGCCUAGAAUGAAAAUACUUCAAGAAAACCUUGAUUAAGAAAUCAGUUUUUCAAAACAUAAAGCAAAAGCACAAUACUGGAAAAACAAUCGGUUGUUUUACCGAAACAAUCAGUUGUUUAUACCAGUUAUUAAUUGACAAAACUGAAUUUAAAGAGAUAGGGAUAGAGAAAUUGUACACAGUUGUUUAUACUGGUUCACUCCAAACCAGAGCUACAUCCAGUCUUCUCAGAAACCCUAAACCCUAAACCCUAAACCACUAAGCAAUCACACCUUGAUCACUUACACAACAACCAAGAGAAUGAUCUUGAACACCUCAAGAAACACACUCUCCUUGGUCAACACACCAACACUAAGAUUGUUGAUCUUGAUCCCCUCAAGAACACACAGCCAAUCUCAGCAAACACAGAAACGAAUACUUGUUCAACAGAGUACAAGGAUUACACUUGUUACAGAAGAUAAUCUGAAAUCAAUACAAGCAGAAUCCUAUUUCAUACACUUUGAUCAAUCACAAACUCUUAGCAAUCUCAGCUCUUUGAAAAAUUCAAAAACAAACUCUUAGGAAAAACUUUGUCAAAGAUUCUUAAAUCUCAAAUCUGUUUUUCUGAAUUUAUUCAAAGAUGUAGGUUGUUAUCAAAUCUUAACAAACUCUUAAAUUGCAUUAAAAGAUUGGUCAAAGCAUUUAAUGACUGGAGCGUAAGCAGUUAAAUCAUUUAAAGCUCAGUCAAAGAUAAAACAGUUUUUCUGUUAUGGUCCCAAAACAAACAAUCGGUUGUUUCCUCGAAUCAAUCGGUUGUUUUGGUACUUAACAAUUCAACCAUUUUAAGAACAGUUUUCAAUCUUUUCCUCAAAACACCUAAGUAUAAACAAUCAUUUGUUUCGAUAAAACAAUCGGUUGUUUUAACUUAGUUUGAAAACAUUUUACUUUCACAAAGAUUGAGAAUGCUAAUUGAUAGAGAUCAAGUUCAAGACCAAAUGGAGGCCAAUACUCAAGGACAAGAAGAGCAAGAGGCUCAAGUGCUAGACGCUCAUGGAGUUGGUAGCCCACCUCAAAGGCUUACAAGAAGUCAAUUCAAAGCAUUAGGAAAUAAUGGGAGGUUGUUCUCUCUUUUUGUAAUAUCUUUGUUUGAAGAUGCUUAGAGGGAAACAUAAGAAACCUCUUUUGUAAAAGCAUCUUUAGGUCUUUAGUUUAGGAAAAUAGUAGGAAGCUUGGGGGGUGUGAGCUUAGUAGAGGGGUGUAGGCGUAAUAGGGAGGUGCCAAACUAAGAGAGGAAGUCACACCUUCCUCAUGCUCUAGGAUUGGCGCCACUUUUAUGUCAUUUGGGGGGAAUUUUGAAUUUAAUUAGCUCUUCAUUUCAGCACCUCUUAGGCUAUAAAUAAAGGUGCUUACCUGUAAAAUUCAGAUUGGAAAUUAGUAAUAGAGAAACUCUACUCAAUUUGAGAGAGAAUUUGUGAGAGUUUGCUUCUCCUUCACCUUGUCUUAUCUUGAGUGCAUUUGGUUCUCUCAAGUGGUGGCACUAGCUCACUCAUCUUGGAGUCUUCAUCCUCUAAGUGGCGUGAUCAUCAAACCAAAGCAUCCAUCUCCAUAAGUUCUUCUUUCUUUCAUCUCCAUUGUCAUAUGAAUUCCUAAAACAUGUUUAGCUUCCUUUUUUGGUUCGGCAAUUCAUUCUAUUUUCCAGCUUGCUUCGGUUCUUAGUUCAUUGGUUGCUUAUAGUUGUUUCUUCUUCAAUUCUAGCUUAAUUGUUUGAUGCAUUUCUGUUCUUAUUCAUUUUGUUCGGUGCUUUUGCCUUUUUACACAAUUUGUUCGCUUCAAUUGGCAAUAGAUGGCUCCUCCAUAUGAGUUUGGUGUGAGGUGCAAGUCAUGGUGAGUUCUUGAAACAUAGAACCUUGAUCCAAUUCUAUUAUAAGUGCCUAAGCUAUCUCCAACUCAAGUUGAGUCCAUAGAAUGUCAAAGAAUCAUCUCUUCUUUGCUAGUGGAUUCAUAUCACUAAUGCUUUAGAUUUAAUCAAAGGGUGGAUUACAACAUAUAAACUACCCCAGAACUAAGCUAAACCAGCACAACAACAUCAAGCACAGCCAAGGCUUCAACAUCCUUCAAAGGGUUUGGAUUCUUCAAAACUUGAACACCACUUGGUUCAUCAACUAUUUCAUAUCACACUUUAUUGAAUCAUAUAAUGAAAUCCAUAAUUAGUAUGUAUUAUUUAUUUAUAGGAAAAGUGGAAGAAAGAUUAAGACAUCAAAUAGAAGAAUGUUACCCCCCACAUAUUGUCUCAGGGAGACUAUGAUUUGUUGGAAAAUAAACUAAUGGAAGAGAAGUUAAAGAGACAAAAAAAAUCAUCUUUCGUUGAGGAAGUUCUUUAUCCUCCAUCCCCUUCUAAUUAACAUGAGAAGUGGAAGUUAGCCAAAAACUAAAGCAAUGGAACAAAUGACAUCUCACAAAUCACUAUAGAUUGCCCAAUGUAAUGUAAGUUCAUAAUAAUGUCUUAUUUUUUUAGUUUUACAUGUAUUAUUAUGUAUUAUGAAGAUGACCAAGGAAGCAAAAGACAAAGCACAUGGUGAGCAAUCAUCUCAGCAAACAAUUCAAGACCCCACCAAGGAUCUCAUGGACCCAACCAGAGGAGAUGGACAUAAACCAGAGCACCAACUGUUCUUCCUUCUGGUCUUCUUAAAAGAUAUAAUAUGUUGUAAAUAAUUUAGCCUCACUUUAGGGUUCAAAAUAGCAAAGGUAGGCUAGAAUAAGGUACCUUUAGCAUAAUAGGGGGUGUAGUUAGCAUUUUAGCUUGUUCCUAGCCCUUUGAGAAGGGAUUUUGACCUAGUUUAUAUAAGGACAAUCCUAGGGUGCGGGUUUGACAGUCAAACCCUAAGGCUGCCCUUUUUGUAGUGUUUCCCAUCCUACCCUUCAUGGUUGUUCUCCAAGACUCCUUCACCUAUAAAUAGGAGGCCUACCUCAUUGUAUUUUACAAGUUGAAUUUGAAUGAAGUAAAGAAACUCUGCACAAAUUGUGUGAGCUCUUAAUGAGACUUAUGUCCUCUUAGGUUUGAGGUCUUAUCUUGAGUGAUUUGGGAAGCUCUCAAGUGGCAACCAACACUCUCAUCUUGGAGCACAUCACGGCGUGACAUUUAUCAUCCACCAUCAUAAGUUUUCUCAUUCCAUUUUCCUUCCAUUUUUCCAUUCCAUUUAUGUUUUUGUCUUUUAGUUCUCUUAUUUGUUGCUCUUGGGUUUCACUCAUAAUUAUGAGUAUGAUGCAUCAUUUGGGAGGCCAUAACUACCAUUGAUGUUUACCUUGUGCCCAUUUCAAUUCUGCAAUUGCAUCUCAUCCUCACCAUAUCUUGUUUUUCAUUUUUGCCUCUGUGAAGUGAACCUUCACACUUACUUAACCACUUGGUUAAGUUCGUGUACAGUGGGAAUCUUCCUUAGGUCCUCACCAUUAAUUGCUAAAAUCUCAAUCUUAAGUAAAAGUGUCACCAUAAAUGAAAACAUCUAAAAUCAACUCACAUCAUGCGUGCAGUGGAGGUAGCCGAGCGGAGCGAUGGCGUCGUACGUCAUAAUGGAGGCAAGGAAGGAGGAACCUGUGUGUGCGUGUUGGAUGAAAACCUAAUAUAAUUUAGGUCAUUUGUGUGUGACGAUGAGAAGACACCUCAAAUCUCAUCCUCUUCACAAUCUCAAACACCUCAAAUUAACCACAUGGCUGAACAAAUAAGAGAAAUGAAUAAUAAUGAAGGAAAAUUGUGAAUUCUCAGGGCAGAACAAUUGGAGAAUAUGCUAUGUAGUAAGGUGCAACAUAUUUUUCUAGCAUAGCAGUACCAGUUGCAACAAAAUCUUUGAAGAUGAAGCCAACAUUUUUUAGCAUGAAUAGUAGCCACCAGUUCACAAGAAUAGAUAAUAAGGACCCUUACACUCAUUUAUCCACUUUCUAUGAAUUGGUAGGAACCAUGGGAUUUGAAGAAGGUGACAUAGAAGCAGUAUAUUUAUGUUUAUUACUUUUUUCACUUGUUGGAAAAGCAAAAGAGUAGUUGAAGUCACAUCCAAAUUGGAGCUUGAGUAGUUGGAGUGAUGUGGAAGAGAAAUUUCUGAACAGGUUUUUUUGCUCCCUCGCUUUAUUAAAUCUAAAUUUGAUAUUUCCAUAUUCAGGAAAAGACCAAAUGAACCUUUCUAUGAAGCAUAGGAGCAAUUCAAAAUGAUGCUAAAAGAAUGCCCAAAUCAUGGAUUUAAGGAUAUAGCCCAACUCAGUAUUUUACAUAAUGGUCUAACAAACAACUAUUGAAAACCUUUAAGAAGAGGGUAGUUCAACCCUUGACAAUAUGAGAUCAACCCAACAACUUAGUAAUGAAAAGGAGUUACCAAGUACACAACUAAAGCAAUCACAAAUGAAGUUUCAACACUAAUACAUAACCCUUUAAGUCUUUGAGAAAACCAAGAAAGUUGUAAGAUUUCUUGAAAAUUUCUUAGAUGCACUCUUGGAACAAUGUGAAAAAAAAAACUCAAUUCUAUCACUCUAAAAGUUUUAUAUUGAGUUUGUAAUGUUUGAUAAAAAAAGUUAUCUUACUUUCAAUAAAAUGUUCAAUUUAUAAAGUUUUUGAAAAGUUGUUUAAAAAUUAAUUCAAAUACAUUCAAUCAAUUAUCUUAAGUAGUUAGUGAUUAUUCUUAAAAAAAAAGGUAAAUUUUGGUGAAAAAUGCUUUCUAUUUUAAUUGAUGAUGUUACCAAUUAAUCAAUUAUUUUGUUCUUCAUUGUUUCUGGAAAAACUUAAAAACAUAUUGAUAUAUUAUUAAGCUUGUUAAUCGAUUAUUUUAAGAGACAAAUUAAAAACACAAUUGGUUGUGCUCUAUUUUAAUUCAUUAUCAAAACUGAUAAUCAUUUAUUAUCUUAUGGAAAUGUGUUAAGAACAAAUUAAUAAAUUAUAUAAAAGCUUAAUCGAUUAACUUUUUUAGAACUUUUUCAAAACUUUUUCACGUUUCCAAAACAUGUUUUAUGAUUAAGAUUAUGUAUUAACAUGAAGCAUUUGUGAUUUGUCUUGUGUGCAAGACUAAAAAAUACAUGCUAUGAAAUUUAUAACAUUAUCAUCAAAACCAAGUUCUAUAAACUCUUAUAACCUAUUGAAUUAAUGAGAGGCUAAGUUCAAGAUGGAGUGAAUUGUACUUAGGUAAAUUUUUGUAAAAGUUGAUUUAGUCAAUCCUGACAUAAAAUCAAUUAAUUGUUUUUUGCAAAAGCUAUUGGUUCGUGCGGGCUAUGGAUUAUGCAGGGUGGACUUAAGCGAGUCAGCGGGUUAGAUUAAUGAGCAUGCCCCACGCUUUUAGGCAACGGUUGCGAGCCAAUCCACAUGACCUGUCCCGCAUUGCCAUCUCUAUUAAUAGAGACUAAUUUAGAAUAUAAAGUAAUUAAUAGCUAAAACCUUAGGAGAUACUCAUUUAGAAACUACUUUAUAAAUUUUUAUUAAUAAUAGAAACUACUUUAGAUACCAAUAAUUUGUUUUUAAUUUAAAAAAGAAUCUCUAGUUUAGUUAAUAUAGUAAUAAUUUAUUUUGAUUAUUUAAUAAUUUUUUUACUGUAUAUAAAUUGAAUUUAUGUUUUUGAAUAAAUAUAUAUAAUUAUUUAAAUAUAAUUUCAAACUUUUUAAAAAUAAUUAAAUUUUCAUUAAACUCUUUACUCCUUUUAUUUAUUUUUUAAGUGAUAUAUUUAUUUGGAGAAGUCAUUUUAUUUAAAGGAAUUAAUCUAAUAAAUGUUAAUUUAAUUUAAUUUUUAUUUACUUUUGGAAAUAUAACUUUUUUUUAUUUUUUAUUUAAAUUACUAUUACAUCGAGUUUUUUUUAUCAUUUUUAUUAUGUUUAAUUUUCACAUAGCAUCAUGUAAUUAAAUAUUAAUAGCUUAAUUUGUAAUAUUUAAUUUUUUAAAAUUUAAAUUAUAUAUAAAAGUAAUCCAAUAAAUAUUAAAAAAUAGUUUAUCUAUAAAAUUGAAAAUAUGUAAUAAUAGAUAAAAAAAAUUAAAAUAAUAAAGAAAUACAUUAAAAUAUACAAGAUAUAAUCUAAAGUAGUAAUAAGUAAAAGAAUUAAAAAUAAUAAAAAUGAUUAAAAUAUAUAAUAUAGAUACCUUAAGUUACUUAUAUCUUAGCAAAAAAAUAAAAAUAAAAAAGGCAUUAAAAUAUAUAAGAUACAUAGUUGAAGUAACUUGUAUUUUAUAAAGUUAUCAUUCUAUAAUGUCUUAACUUGCUUCUUCUAGUUAAUAUUAUUUAAAUUUAAUUUUUUUUAUUAUAAAUGAAUAAUAUUAUUUUAUUAGUUUUUAAAUUGUUAUACUUAUAUAAUAGAAGUUUUAGAUUUUUCUAUUAAAAUAAAAAUAAAUUUAAAAUAAAAUAAAACAUGUUUAAAACAUAGGUAUAAUAUGUUUCAAUUUUUCUUAAUUAUUAUAUAAUUUUUUUUUAAAAUAAUGGAGACAAAGAGUAGGUUAAUGAAUAUAAAAAUAUGAAGGGUAGAAGAAGUAAACAUCAUAUCAUUAUAAAAUCUGAUCUCAUCAUUAAUAGUUAUAAAUUAUAUCACUGAUUACAUCAUUUGAAACCAUAAUCAAGAUAACUUAUAACAUUAAGUUGUAAACACCCCUUGAGACAAUAUUAAAAAUGACUUAUACAUUUAUACAUUACACUAAUUCUUUAAUGGUUUGAGAGAAAUAUUUGUGUGCAUACUAUUAUUGAUGUUAUAAAGUUCAAAGAAAAUAUAUUAUUCACUUAUCUGAAAACAUUUAAGACAAAAUUAGUGUAAUUUACUUUGGAAUAUAGUAUAUAUAAGUUUUUUUUUCCUACUAACUUUAUUACCUAAAAUUCUACCAAAAACCCUAUGUUUCUAUUUUUCUUUUCUCUUUAUCACUGAAAAACCAGUGUUCUAGUGUUCUCGAUGCUGCAACAGAGUAUUGUCCAGUGAGCCAACAAAUUUCUGCGGCAUAAUCUCAAUCUCAAUUUCAUUUUCAAACCUCAAUGGGUUACAUUCAAGACGCACGCGAGAAUCACGUUAAGAAGAAAGUGGAAGAAGGUACCACUUAUUUUUUCUUCUUCGUCUAUAAAUCCUAAACCCUAAAUGCACCCAUUACAAAAAAAAAGUGCUCAAAGUUAUGAUUUUGGAGGAAGAAACGAGAACCCUUUGAGUUAAUCAUGGGUUUAAUUCAAAUGGGUAGUUCUUAUACGAAUCCAAGACAGGGUCAUGGUUAAGAACAAUUUUUUUUAUAAUUGGUGAAAUUAAAGUGCUGUUGUAUCAUCAAAUCUGCAGCUUUGCGCAGCAAAAUGAAGCAGAAGGCACUGAAGGAGUGUGAUCGUUACACGGCAAAGUAUGCUGAAUGUGCUGCCGGGAAAACACUGUCACUUGUGUGGAGUUGUCGCCGACAAGCUAAAGAGUUGAAUGAUUGUCUUCAUCAAUUGUAAGCGCUGUUAUGAAAUGAAGCAAUUUUUUAUUUCUUUGAUUCAAUUCUUGGAAGUUGAUUUGAUUAGUAGACUAGUUGAAUGCAUUUGUUAUAGUGUUAAGUUAUUUUAGAUUGUCAUACCAUCAUGAAUUGUCGUUUUUUAUGUAUGUAGUGAAAAUUAUACCACAUGCAAAAUUCAUUGUUGCCUGUCCAUUUCAUUCUUGAUUCUCCAUUGUGUCUGUGCAUUUUUUUUCUGUUUCUCAGAAUUCUUGAUAUAAUUGUUGAAGCGAAGGUUUAAUUUUCUUAAUGCAGUUCAGUAGGGAUUAUGAGUCCUAGUUUUUAUUCAGUGAAUAUAUACCAAUUGAAAACUUAUCAGGAUAAGGGAUAAGUACAGGCGAAUUCAAAGGGACUUGACAAAGCGAGUUUUAGCCUGUUUUAGAAAGAGACAAAGUUUUAUUCCUCAUUUGCCUUUUCAAUUGUCCUGCUGCUUCCAUUAAUGAUUAUGAACACUACAUUGUUUGCAUUCUAUUUCUUGUAUUCAAAUAUUCUUAUGCUGUUUUCAAUGUAUCCUGUAUAAAUCAUUGAAAACAAGAAGCACAAUGAAAACAAGGUAUUUUGUAAUUAGUGAUGAAAGUUGAAACUAGAAAAUAGAACAGGAAAAGUUUUUGUAAGCCAAAUAGGCCUUAAAGUAAUACACAUUGCCCAUAUAUCUGGGUAAGUUUCUGCUGAAGUUGUGCUCACACAAUUCCUUUUCAGAGUAAACCCUUUUAUUGUGUUUGAAUGAAGAAUUUUUGGAGCAUAAUUCAUUUUUAUGGAGAAUUUGAAAUGUUGUGACAAACUAUGUUGUUUGGAUGGGGAAUUUAAGAAAUUGAAUUUCUAAAAAAUUAUUAGAGGAAUUUGGUUAGUUAAAAUUAUAGAAUUUCAAAUUUCAUCUACAAAGUAAGAAUUUGAAAUUCUUCAUACUCUUUCAUCUCUCACAUCUAUGCCUCUUCUCUUCAUACUUUUUACUUGUCUUGGCCUUGGUUGGAGUGUUGUUAUAUCAGCAUCAACUAGGGUAUUUUCGGCUCGGUCUCAAUCAGAACAUUGGCCACAUGGUCAAGGUUGGGAUGUUGUCGGCUUGAUGCAAUUUUUUUGUUUGGUGUCGAUGGGAGUUUCUUUUAGGCCACCAAAGUCAAUUAUAGUUAUUUUUUUCGGUGUUGACAUCGCCAAAGUUAUUUUAGCUGACAUUAUUAAGAAUUUUCUUGGUCAACAUCAAUGGUGUUUUAAUUUGAUUUCAAACACAAUUUAUUUUUUGUUGAAGUCAACUGAGAUUAUUUUCAGGGUUAUUUUUAGGCUCACAUCAUAAAAAUUAUUUUUUUGGCUAGCUUAGUUUGAGGUUAUUUGUAGACUGAUGCUCAUUAAAGGUUAAAGGUUUCUUAACUAAUGUUGAAAGGGCUAUUUUUUCAGCCGAUGCCAUCCAGAGUUAUUUUAUCAACGUUAGUAGGACUGUUUUUCAAACAAUGUAGGUCAUGUCUUUUUGGUUGAUGCUGACAAGAGGUUUAUUUUUUUACAUUGUUGGGAUUAUUUUUUCACUAAUGUAGGCCAGGGUUAUUUUUUAGCCGACAUUAGUUAGGAUAUUUUUGACCAAUGUUGUAGGGGUAUUUUUUGAUGUUAGCCAACAUUUUUUUGGUUCACAUCUAUUGGGUUUAUUUUUGUGUAAGGAUGGUUUCUUGACAUUUCUGUAUUUGGUAGUAAUUGAAAUACUUUAUCAAAACAAAAAAAAUUUAAAUUCAAUAAUUUUGAAUUGUCUUAUCCAAACAUAGCAUUUGAAUAAUGAAUCAAUUUGAAUUGAAAGAAAUUCAAAUUUAAUGUAUUUUAAUUUCCUUGAAAUUGUGAAAUUCUCUAUCUAAAUACAUGGUUAAGUUGGUCUUUUUAAAGUUUAUUUUCCAAAUUACCCCUCAAAGAUAUAAAUGUUACCGGUUUCAUUCUUUUGUAGGACUAAAGUGGGGACUUAAAAUAUUGAAUUUGGUUACAUCUUUAACAGACUACUUUGGUAAUCAAAUUCUUUGGAGUACUAAUGUAAUUAUACUCUAAUCUUUGUAGGAUCAAUUUAACGGUUUUGGUUUCUUAUCAAGUUUACUGAUACUUCAUAGAUGCUGAAAACUUGAUGACAUAUAUUCGUUUCUUGUCUUUUGUGCACAUUAUUCAUUAGAAACCUCCCUUUUCCUGAAUAAAUUCUGUUAAUUUGUACUUGCCCUUAUAUUUUCGUCAGCAUUGGAGAUCCAGAAAAGGAGAAACUUAUAUGUGUGUAAAAAGGAUGUUUUACUUUAGGCUUUAAUGUAUUCUUUUGUUACCAAUGUACAGUUGUAUUUGAAUACUAUGUGUUAGGAACCAAAAAUAGAAAUGGGAAAGAAAGGAAAGAGUAAAAGCUUGAUCCACAAAUGAUGACCUAAUAGAAUGAAUCCUCCCCCUUUAAUUCCCUUGUUUAUGUCUAAUAAAUUCCUAUAUCUAACUGAUUAACUACUCGAACUUUCUGUAUGGAAUUUUCCCUUCCCUUCUAUCUAACUCCUAACACUAAAUCCAAGUUGGAUUAGCUUGUAGCUUAUUAAAGCUUUUCAAGUGAGAUAAGUAAUUUAUUCCUAACUUAGAGAAAAGCCCUAAUAAGAGCAUGUUUAGGAUUAGGAAGGCUUUUUCCCUAAAAUAUAAGCUGUUUUGUAAAAAAGAAAUAUGUCUGUAAAUUUUGUAAAAAGAUUUUAUUUUUCUGAAAAUUAAGCAAUUUCUUUUAACAUGAAAUAAUGCAACUCAUAAUUAAUUUUUUAACAGGUUUUUUCCUUUCAGCCUCAUGCAUUCUUUUCUUAUCUAAAAGCUAUUUUUUUAAUAUCCAAACCAAAUUAAAUCUUAGACCAUUUUUUAGCAAACUUGCCCAAACAAAAAUUGUUUUUGAUUAAAAUCAGUUAUUCAUACAAUCGAUUAUGGAUAAUCUAAUUUUCAAAGUUGUCCCAUACAUACCCUAAAUUUAUAUAUGCUUUUAGAAAAUUAGACGAUAGAGCAACUUUUGAAACAAUUGAGGUGUAUAUGUUGAUUUUCUUUUUCAAUGAUACAUUUAAUUAAUUCAUUUUAUCUCGUUGGUUUAUUUUAUUCCCUUCUCCAUCUAGUGUUUGUGGAAAUUUUUUCUCGUAAUUGGCUUUUUAAUAAAAUGCUUUCAGCUAUAACAGUUGCCGGAAUGAUAAAAUUCACAACCUACUCAAAACAAACAACUAUACCAUUGCCAUACGAGAGGCCUUACCUUGAGGAAUACAACUGUUUCUAGAUUUAUUUGUUUGAUACAUUUGCAAUUAUGAGCCCAACUAUUAGUAGAAGACAUUAGGUUCAUUUACUGGUACGCAGAUAUGACUCCCAAUUGUCACAUUCUAUCUGUUUAUCUGAUUUAAACUAUUUAUAUUUUUGAAUAUUCUAGUUAAUCUUUUACUCAGACAAGAUAUGUAAGAUUUACUAUAUUCUUUGGUUUGAGGAACGAUACAUAGGAAAAUCAUCAUGCCAAUUGGAAGAGUGAUGACAAUAAAGGUGAUACACUACAAUUUGAAAAACAUUAUUAUACAUGUCUGUAUGCAGUGCAUGGAUCUUCAUGUUGUCUACAUGUUAAGUCUUUCUAUUCAUUAGGCGUUUGAUAAAAGAGAACAAAUACUUCAUUUUGGACCUUCACAGUGGUUCAAAAUAAUGAAACUGAUAAUUAUGAACUAUCCUUUAUUUUCAAACUAACCAUCCAUCUAAUGUAAUUCCUAGUUACUUCUCAUUCACAGAUUUAGUGGAUGCGUGGAUAAGUAGUUUCAUAAAGUACAAAAUAGAAAUAUCCUAUCUAAUAAGAAAAAUAAAAAUCCUAACUGCCUGUUUUGCCUACUCAGCUUUGCAAAUGUAAAGCCUCAGUACUUUCUAACAGAUCUAUAUAUUACCUCAUAAAGAUCAAUGUCUACUACCACAGUGGAUUACGAAAUGAAAAUUUCAAAUUUCCAAUCAUAUAUUUAAAAUUUAGUCUGUGUAAAGAUUUUUAUAUUGAUCAAUGGGCUAGAUUGUCUAAAUAGUACUUUCUUUUCAUUGAUUCAUCUUGUUAUUCCAGAACCAUGGAAACUCAAAUGUCUGACAUAACACAUUCAUAGCAAAUCAGCCUGAUGAUUAAAAUGAUUGUAGGCCUUCUUGUUUUGGGGAAGAGUGGAGGAACUGUGAUAAAGACCCUCUUAUGCUUUAGCUUGAAUGAAGUGUUUAGAAACAAAUGUGUAUAAAUUUUGUUUAGAAUUUGUUAGAUUAUAAGGUAAUCUCAAAGAUGUUUUCGACUGAUUAGGAAUUUAAUCCAAAAGGAUUAUAUAUGUGUGAAGGUUUGCAUCUAGGAAAAGAGUAUGAAGAAACAAACAAAAGAAACUACAACACGAACCCCUCAUACUAAAGAAGACAUUGGCGGAAGUAUAUAGAGAAAAAAAUAGAGCACAAGCAAUUAAAGUAACAAGUAAAAGAAAGUUCAAAGUGGAGAAGCCUUGGAAGAAUGAAAGGAGAGUGCCACUUGAAAAUGAAGGAUUCUUUAUCUUCAUGAUAAACUUCAUGGAGAAUCACUACUUGACUCCAAAGUUAAUAAAUAAGAUAAGACUCAAUCAAGAUCACUCUCAGAAGUGUCUCAAAAUCUCACAAAUUCCAUAUAUCAUCCAAAGUGAAAAUACAAGAAAAGGUGAUGGCUAUAAGCCUAUGAUCACCGAAAAUUCCUAAGCUAAAUGUGACUCAAAAAUUACAUGCUAAUGCUAAUUCAUUACAUGUGCUGAAAAUUUAAAAUAAAUGGGAGGGUAAAUUUUGAAUUUUGAAUUCAAAAUAAAAUAAAAAGAAAUCUCCCUUGAUUUGGCAGGAUUCCAUCAUGCUUACAUGCCUUGGUUCAUGCUUUCCUUGCUAUUUUGAUAGCGUGAUCUCCUUGCUUUGUUUAAGCUUCAUUUGGCUGAGAUUCCUAAAUCAAAAUUGGGCUCUGCAAUUGGGCUUCUUUUGUUGUUUGACUUUUAUUCUUCAUGCCCCCUUUUGUAGAUGCUUCUUUUGGGCUUUUGAAGAAGUCCAUUUAUGUGUUUACUAUUUAACACCACCUAUGAAAAAUAUAUUCCAAUUAAAAGUCCAAGAAAUGCUAAACAAAGGAACUAAACUAUUUUUUAUUGCAGAACAUUUUGUCUAGUCACCAGUGAUUCUUCUUGUGAUGACAUGCUCUUGCUUAUUUUCUUGUUCUUUUUCCAUGAACUCAUCAAAAUGAAAACUGCAUAUCCUUUUAUUAUUUACUUUCUGUCAAUUCAACCUUUUUAAAUUUUUGAAGACAUAAAUAGUUUGAAAUUUCCAUCAUGUCUGUGACCAAAGUGGAGAAACAUCAGUCAAGCAUUAAUUAUUGUUUAUCAUUCUUCUUCUUCUUCAUGUAAAUUUGAUUUCUCACUGUUUCUCUUGCUGCUAUCAUCAGCAGCAGCUUAAUUACCUUUACAACCAAAGUUGUAUGUUGUGAAAUAUAGGGGAUGUAGUUUAGUAUAAUUGUGUUGCUAUGAAUGUGGAAUUGAUAUCUCUUGUUAAUUCUUUUACAGCACCAAUGAUUCUGUUUUGGAGGAAAUGAAGAAAGAAUACAUGUUAAAACAAGCAAAGGGCUCUAGUAGAAUCCAGACUGCUUGAUUUCAAUGUCUACGGUGCAGUUUAUCAACAUAAUCUUACCUCUUGGAUUCAAAUUCUUUAGGCAUUUAGAAUGAGGUGUUCAUUAUUAUAUGAUGCCAUGGACCUUCAUUAUAACUCAAACUUUUCUUUUUUUUGUGAAUUUUGUAUGGAUAAUAGAACUUAAUUGAAAGAUCUUGGUUGGUAUGUGUCUGUUACUAUAUCUUAAAGGGAGCUUGGCUUCUAUUGGAGCCAUUUUGACUAUGGUUGAAGUUUACAAGAGGUUAAGUUCAACGUCAAUCCAUCAUGAGAUAAGGAUUGGCUUUUGAAUGUGCUUUGAGAACCAGGAAUAUUGCAAUACAAACACACACCAAAGUGUGUAGUGUGUGAAGAGAUUAAUUAUGAUGGUGUUAUUGGAGUCUCAGCAUACUUAUGAAGUUGAUUUUGUAAUUUCAUUAAAUUGAAGUCUAUUGGGAUGACAAAUAGAUUCUUAGUUUUUCUUUAAUAAUAUUUUUUUAUUUAAAUGACAAAUGAUUGUUGAAUCAUGUGGAGGUAGUUUAGUUGAGAUUAUGAGAUAUUAAGUUUUAUAGGAAUGUUUAGCAUAAAAUUUUUAUAAAAAAAAAAUAGAUUUAUAAUUUUUUUUUAAUGUAUAGAAGGUGGAUAUUUUCUUCUAAACAUAAUUUAUUUUUAGAUUAAUACAUGAAAUUUAAACACUUUUUUUUCAGAUUCAGUUUGUUCAUGGGGGCAGAAACGGACAACAUACUACAGUUAAAGAAAGUAUUUUUAAAUAAUUCGAACAAUUGUAAUCUUUAAAAAUAUGAUAAAUUUUUUAUACUUAUAUUCUGGAGAAAAAGAAAGUAAAAAUUUGUUAAAGUAAUUUAUUUAAACACUUUUCUUAAUAAGUAUGCUUAGAUAUCAGGAAGUUUUUAUAAAUAAAGAAAGUGUGAUAAUGGAAAAAUAUUUAUUAAAAGAUGAGAUAGAAAUUUGAUAUUCAUCAUGAGUUUUUAAAUUAGGAAUGUGAAUGGAUCUAUUCAUACUUAAUUAAAUAUUUAUUAAGUUUUCUUGAUAAAAAAGAAAAUCACAAUAAUGAAAAAAUAAAUUAACAAGAAUGUAAGAAUUUAAGCAUUUUUUAAUAAAAAACAAAUUAUAAUUAUAUAAAUUUUAAAAUAGAAUAUCAAAUAAACUAAUAACAUUUCAACAAUUUAAAAUAACACAUGGAUUUCUAUCUCCACACUGGACUUUAAAAUAUUUAAAAAUAUAAAUGUAUUUUUCCUUCGUAAUCUUUAUUAAUAAAAUGUAUUUUACUAAAAUACUUUAAUUUGGCAUAUACAUAAAUAAGAAUGUGUUCAAAAUAAUUAAUAUUUAUUUCAUGAAGCAACAUAACAAUAAUUUUGCGCAGUGUAUAAUAUUGUAGACAAAUUAAUUAAACAAAUGAAGGUAAAAUUAUAACAAAAAGGUUUAUUCAAAUAACAAUGGUGUAAUAAAAAAUAUUGUUUAGCAAUUAAUGCGUGUUCUGAAAAUUAAAAAAAAAAAUCACACUCCCUCUAAUUUUGGAAUUUUAAAAGCAAAUUCGUUCCAUGUAUUAUUUGAAGAAUUAUAUAAAAUACAAAAUUAAUAAUAUAUUAAUUAAUUGAGAGUAUAUACAAUGUCCACUUAUUUAUUACCAAUUAAAAAAUUAGUUGUAUUGACUGAAUACAAUACUCACAUAAUAAUCUUAACUACGAUAAACACUUUUGAAAAAUCAUAGAACAUAAAUCCUUAUUACAAAUUCUUCAUGACAUGAACAACUACAAAAUAAUUUAAGCAUAUUAAUAAAUUAAAUAAUCUAAAUAUGUUAUUUACUAACCAAAAAUAAAUAUAAAAUAUAUUCUAAAAAAUAUAAAUAGUAUAUAAACUUAUAAGAGUCCUAUUAGCUUAGAAAAUAAUACACAUAGUAAAGUUGAAUUUCAAAUUAUUUUAAAUCAUGAGUUGUUGGUGAGAAACUUAAAUUAGUGAUUCCAAUCACAAGAACCCACCAAGAUUACGAAAACAAAUUAGAAUAAUAAUUUAAGAACAUGAAUAACAUAAAAUCAUAACAUCAUGUAAUACCGAAAUUAAGGAAUAAAAUGUGAACGAAACAAUAAUAAGAUAAACUAGAACAAAAGAACAAUUCAAAAGAGAAGAUGAAUAAGAGACUUGGGAGAUGAAAUAAAUUAUAUGCUACAUGAGAAAUCUUCAUCCUCCAACAUAAACAUCACAUGAUGAAUCAUUACUUGACUCUUUAAGAAUCAAAUAAAACUUUUCAUCACUCUCACUAAAGCUAACUCACAAUAAUUUAUGUAAUUAUUAUAUAUCUCAAAAGUGUAUUGUACAAGGCAUGAGUGACUAUAUAUAGCUACCAAAGAUCAAACUUUGGUUGAGAAUUUUACAAAGUAAAGAAGAGUGACUAUAUAUAGCUACCAAAUAUCAAACUUUGGUUGAGAAUUUUACAAAGUAGAGAAGAGGAGAGAAAAUCAAAUUUAUUAGAAUAGGAUUACGCCUAAUAUCAAGGGAUUUGAAUUUUUAAAAUUCAAAUUCCUCUUCUCUAUCAACUAUGUAAACUUCAACCAACACAUUCUAGGUCAGGAUUUACAUUUCAUUUUAUUGUAAUUAGCAUUUGAAUUUGAAGAUUGAAAAUAAUAAUUUAGCUCUAGAAUUCGGGUGGAAUAAAGUUUAAAACCACUUUUGAAGAUUUUCACAAGAUGAUGAUCAACAUAAAGUAGGAGGAUGAUAGUCUACUAGUUAAAAAGGUUUCUAAAAGGAUUUCCACAAAUAACUUGUACAUGUAUAAUAUAUGAACUAAUGAAAACAAUAUCUUAUAUUGGUUCACGAUAACACUGAGUUACAUCUAAUUUUUCUUUAAAAACUUGUAAAUGGUUAAACUAAUCAAACAAACAAUAAUUACAAAAAAUAUUUUUUGGUCACUUUUGUCCUUUUGUCUUAUAAUGAGUACACAAAGUCACUCGUGAUUAUUCCCUCUAUCUCUCCUAAGAUAAAGAACAUAGAUAUUCUUUUUCAUUAAGCUACUUUUGGCUUUCCUAAGUAUUUUAUAAUUGUCACUCCUAACUAAAAUAAGUUAUUUUAGAUACAAGGAAAAACUCUCAAAAGAGAUAAACUUCUCUUUCAAUUAUUUAUUUUUCUUUCAACACAGAUACUUGCUUUUUUCCAUAGUUUUAGGGACUUUAGUUCUUGAGUUAAUUGUGUAAAAUGUUUUGGUGAGCUUGUGGCAUUAUCAAUACGUUGAAAGUGAAAUUUACAAAUAUUUAAAGAAUAUUUUUCUUUUAGCAACACUAGGAAAACAAACUAAGACUCAAUCUUAUAAUAAGACUCCAAGCAAUGAAACAAGCCUUUGGAACUUGCUAAAUUGCUUUACCUAAAAUACUAAAGAAGAUAGUUCAUUAAGAAAAUAAAUUAGUUGAAUCCUAAUGUGAAAACUUGUUAGCACUUGGAGCUAUCAAGACAUUUCAACAUUUAAAUGUGUAACUAACAUAAAAAAAGUCACCAAUAGGAGAUGGGAGGACAGUAAGGAUUCCCAAGAUACCCAAGAAAAUAACCGAAUUACAAGUUAAACAAAAGUAAACAAAUAUUGAAAGAGAUAACACACAUUAGCCAUUGAAAGAAAAGAGAGAUAAAAUUGGAGACAAAUUUUGUUUGCUACGAAUUUCAAACUUGUUUGAAACUUUUUCUUGUCACUAAAUUAGUUGCUAAUUCGGCUUCUACAAAAUUUUCCACAAAGGUACAAGAACUUUGGUUUUCAAACUCUCUCGAUGCCUCUCCAAGUGUUUAGUCCCUCCUUGAAGGAGUUAUUUUCUACCUUUUCAAUGCAUAAAGGCGUUGUAUCCUCUUAGAAUUCCAUCAACACUUAAGAUGCUACCUUAUGAAGUUAGGUGUUCUCAAAGAAUCAAGUUAAGCCAAUAGUAAAUCCACUCAAGAAGUUGAAAAAGUAAAGCAAUAAAAGCUCAAUUUAGAAAUGCUAAACUCAAAUUAGAACUGAUAUGACAAGUGUAACACCCAAAUUUUUGUUUAGGAUACUAGGUAAGAGAAUCCCUUAGCUUAUUUUAUACAGAGUUUUAGAUUUCCUUCACUAGGAAAAAUUCGCUCAUCACAUUUGGCUCCGCUCAGCAAAAUUAUGUAAAAGAGAGUCUUGGAAGUUUUCUACAUAAUUUCACUUAGUCAUUUCCAAAUUCAUUAAGCCAUUUUUAGCAAUCCGCUCAACAUGUUGAGAUUUGCUUAGCGGAUUGACCCUUAUCAUUUUAGUAUAAAUAGACCUAAAUUGUUAUUUUUACAUAUUUUAGCAUAAAAUAAAGUUGAGAACUAAGAGAGAAAAAGUUUCCUCACCACCUAAAUCAUAAAGUUUCAAGAGAUUAUUCUUUCUUCCAUCACUUCUUCUCCUCAUUCUCUUCAAGUUCCACCAAUCAAUUUUCUUCCAAGGUAAGUGGUUUUCUUAUUUCCAUCAUUUUCCUCCAUUUAUGGUGAGAAAUGUGACAUAGAAGAAGUAUAGGGUUAUGGGUUAUGAAAUCCUAACUUCUAGAAUCAUUUUCUGAAGAGAUAUAUUGUCUUUUCAAACUUUCUUAUGAGAUAUUCCUAAAAUCACUAUUGUUCUUUCAUAUGGAAAUAUUUGAUUAUAGUAUUAUGUCUUAUGAAAUGCUUUAUGGGAAUUGUUGAAAGUUAUCUUUACUUUGAAGUUGAAACAUAACUUCUAAUGUGAUAAAGUUUUAAGUGAACUUUAUAUUUCACAAGUUGCUUAAAAAAGAAAUUGUAAAGUAUGUUUGUAAAAAAUGUAUCACUCAAAAGAGCAUUCGGAUAUCCGUCUCUGAAUAACUCUGAGAGGAUAUGAGAGUCCCUAUGUUCAAAUUCUCCAAAAGGGGGUAUAAAUACCGAGAAUUCAUGGCAUAGAGGAAAGUGACAUCUCUAAAAAUGUUUGAGCUCAACUUUAUGACAAUAGGAUGGGAAAAGAAAUGUUCAAGAGAUAUAUUUCUUGAGUUAAAUUUAGUUACUUAGAUAUAUUUGAGAUAUGAUUUCUUUUAUUGCUUUUGAAAUACCAACUUGUGAAAUGUUUAAUGAUUAACUUAUUUACUGUAUGUUAUAUUACCACUCAUUGAGUUAAUCUCACAUAGUUUUAUUUUAUAUAUAUAUAUAUAUAUGUAUUCCAAAUGAACAUGUUAUAGAGUAUGAAAUAUGAAGCAACUUUUGAAUUCCAUGCAACUUACGAGUUGCUUAGUUAGGUUUUGUAGAGAUUUUUGUAUUAAUUUUCCCUUUUGUAAACAAAUAUGUAUAGUUAUACGCAUUAAAUUUUAGUUUUGUUGUGUAUCGUUUAUUCAAGAACAUCAAUGUAUAACAAAUAUUAUGUUAUGUAAAUGUUUCUUUAUGUAAAUUUUAUUAUUCAUAUAUGUUAUUGUUUAUGUAUGCCCAAAUCCUCUCUAGGUUGUUAUAACAAUACUUCAAAUAAUGCUAAAAAGAACAUGACAAGCUAAAAUUAAAGCUCAAAAUUAGAAAUAUACAUAGUAAAGAAGUCUAAAGAACGACUCUAGAGUAGGUGUAAAACUAAUAUAAUAUGGUUUGUUUUUUCUUUUAUUAUUUUUAUAAGCAAGAAUAAGAACCCGAGGAUGAUUGCCAGUAAAAAAAAAAUUUAAUAAAUCAUAUUAUAUAAGUGAGAAGGUUUGCAUCCAAGAGCAAGGUUUAAUUCAGUUUCUCUUAUAAUGAUUUGUAUUUUCUUCUUCUCUUUUUGUUAAGACGCUAGAUGGUCUAGUACCUGCUAAACGGUCUAUCACCCAUUAAACAAUCUUGUGAUAAGAGAAUUUAUGAGUUUUGAUGAUAACAAACAUUAUAAGAUAUGUUAAGAAUUCUAACAAAGCUCACUCAUUCAUAAUAAGGUAAAGGCUCAUCAGACGGUCUAGUAAGAUAAAACUUAUUAGACGGUCCUACAAUAUUAAAAUUGUUAGAUAGUCUCUCAGUGUUAAACUUUUUAAGCAGUCUAUGUGCCAAGAACAAAAUAGCCAAACCAUAAAGCAUUGAUCUAUUAGACAGUCCAACUGUGCAUAGACACAAUAAAUGGUCUCACAGUACAAGGACAUACUAGACAAUCUCGUAAGAUGGUCUCUAAGGACAUAUCAAGUCAAACAUCUCCAAAGCUUAAGAAAGCUUAACAAAACAAUUUUAAUGAACACGCUAACCAUAACUUAAACUUGUACAUGUUAAAUGGUCAUUUCGUUUUCGUGUUAGAUAUUCUAACGCAUUAGGGAGUGUUUAUGCUUGAUUUCUAUGAUCUUAGAUUUUUUCUGACAUUGCUUUAAUAUUUUUGAACUUUAUUUGGUGAUUUUAAUUCAUAUAAAUCAAAGUUUUCAAAUAAGAUAACUAAUUGACUAAGUUUGGGAAGUUUUUGUAUUUGCGAACAUAAAAUAGAGCAUCCCAAAAACUCCAAAUAUUGAGUGUCUUAAUAAUCUUUGAAUGAAAUACAUUUUCUAUAAUGAUUAUAAAUUGUUUCAAGUACUGUUAUGUCCUCAGGAUUAAGAUUUAGAAAAUAUUAGAAAGUUUUGGAAUGAACAAUGUUUAAAUUGGAAAGGUUUUGAGAAAAAAAAGCACACAUAUUCACUGUUUAUUUUUUUUUUGAAAAAUAUAUUAAGGAAAUAAUUCAGGGUUAAAGUAUGAAAAUUUUUCAAUGUUUAAAUCUUGUACAAACUUAGAAAGUAUUUGUAAAUAUUUUUACAAUGGAAUUUUUGGAAUGGAAGAUUUAAAUAAUUUAGAAAUAUCAAAGAUAAUGUUUCAAUGAUACCCAUGCAAUUAAUUAAUGUUUAUUAUUGUCUCUAAGAUUCAUAGUAUUUCCAGAAAAGGUUUAAGGAGUUUAAAGACACGUAUGAAGAUUAAAUAUGAAGUUUCCUAUUCAAACGUCUAUUGGUGAAAAGAUGAAGUGCAUAACGAGAUUUGUGCAAUCCUAAAGAGCUGCCACAUACAUGCCUCAACGUUCAAAUUAUAUUUGAAUAUGGAAAGAACUCAAAGCUCAAAUAAUGUGAUAUUUGAUUAAAAAGCACAAAAUAUUGUCAAGGAUAAAGUUUCCUUUUUUUCAAACGUGUGGUGAGAAAAAAAUGAUGCUACAAUGUGUGAUUCUCGCAAGCAAGGAUUAAGUUGUUUCGAAUGAAGAUAUACAAAUAGAGAAAAGAUUCAAAGUACAAUGAGUGUUCAAGGCGCAUUAAAAGUUUAAUAUCAAAACAUUCUUUUCUUUAGCGUCUUAUAUGAACAAGAUGAAGAAUAAUACAAUAUGACGAAGAUUCAAGUACAAAUAUGAUAAAACUUCAACGUUCAAAUUUCUACAAAUGAAGAAACAUAUUUGAAGUUGAAAUAUGUGAUUAAGACGAACAUAUUGCAUCAAAGUGAAAUUUGUCUUAUUGAGCGUCUACUACAUGAAGAAAAUAAAGUUAUGCAUAUUUAAACAAAUAUUUGAGUCAAGAGGAAUUAAAGCUUCAACAUAAACAUUUGAGCAAAGAAAUGAAACAUUUCAAAUUGGCUCACACAUUCAACAUGCACAGAGAAUGAUUUAGAUAAAAAGUUUCUAUAUAAAACGUCUGAUAUAUGGUGAAGUACAAAUUACAAGCCUCAAAUGAUCACAUUCUAAAAGCUAUAUAAAGACCUAAAAGUCAAAGAAGAAAUACAUAGAACAACGAAUCAUAAAUGAUAUCCUAUGAGCAUUGUUAUCUCUUUCGAGAAUGUUUUCUCAUAUCUUUGAGAGGUCUUGAUCUCAGGAGAGAUUAUAAUUUAUAACUAGUUUUUACGGCGAGGUGUUGAAUACUCGUUCUUGAAAGUACGUUAAAACUUGUGUACCUAGAGAGGUGUAAAAUACUUGUCCCGGAGAGGUGUUGAAACUCGUUUUAGUGAAAAACUCUUAAGUGAUUUGCUUAAGAGGACGGGAUGUAAAUGAAGUGAUUUGGUGAUCCAAUAUAAAUAUUUGUUUACUUCUCUUUUCCCUUUAUUGUUAUACACUAUAUUGUUUUGUUUUGUCCUUAAACUUGGUUGAUUUUAUACCAAGUAAAAUAUAUGAGUUUUCAAAAGUUAAAUUUCUAAUAUUAAAAUAACUCAUCUGGCUUCUUUGGAGUGUUCACCCACCCUACACUUUUGAAGGAUUUAUAUUAUUUUAAAUUUUUAAACAUUUUAUAGUCCUUAUGUAUUAUUUAAAUAUUUUAAAUAGUAUUUUAAAUUUUCAUAAUAAAUAGUUGUAAUAUAAUAUUAUUUUUUUCUUUGUUUUUCCGAUUAACUAAAUUUUUAUAUAAAAUUUACAUUAAAAGUUAAAUUCCACAACAAUAAUUAAUAAUUAUAUUAAAUAAUUUUACUUAUCGUUUUCAAAUUAUUAAAAUAACUUAUUCUUUUUCUGUUUUUUUGAAAAGGGGAAAUAAUUGUUAAAUAAUUAUAUAUAUAUAUAUAGUAAUAUAGUAAUAAUCUUCAAAGAAUACAUUAACUGAGUAAAUAAUUUUAAUUUUCAAAAUAUUUAUUUUAACACUCACACGUGAAGUAUUAAAUAUUUUCUAUCAUAUUUUAAAAGAAAAUUCUGGGAAAGAUGCUUUCAUAGUAAAAUAGUUUCGUUUGGUAAAUAAAAGGCAAAGCGUCUGCUCUGCCAUUUCCUUAUUGCCAACUAUUUCCGUUAACCAAUUGUUUUAUUUUCCAUGUGAAAUGACCAAAAUAUCCUUAAAUAAAAAAAGUGAUAAACAUGAAUAUACAUUUAAUUUUUUUAAUAUUUUUCUGAUUUUUUUUAAAUAUUUUUUUUUUUGUAUUUUAAAUUUGAUUUUCAUAAAGAUUCUACUCGUUUUCGGAAUCCAAUAAUCUAUUUUUUAAAAUAUAAUGUUUUAAGUUUGAAAUUUUUAUUUUCGAAACGAAGGACAUUUUUGAAACUUCAAUGUGUUUGUAAGUUGCCGUGUGUUGGGUUGAUGAAGAGUUUGGCUUCUUUAUGUUUUGGGUUCAUUGAAGAAGAAAAUUGGUGUGAAUGGAAGUGUGGUGAUUUUGUGCUAUGAAGAAGGGAAAGAAGGUGAAAGAGAGUGGAAGUGAUGAUGAUUGUGAUUGUUGGUUGGUUCAGAAUGGAAUAGCAGGUGUGUUCAUGAGUGUUGGGUUGUUUGCAUUGUUGGUGCGUGUGGCGGUGUCACUGCACCCUUACUCUGGUGCUGCCAACCCUCCAAAGUUUGGGGAUUACGAGGCUCAGAGGCAUUGGAUGGAGAUUACCACUAACCUUCCAAUCAAGGAAUGGUACAGAAACAGCUCCACCAAUGAUCUCAGCUACUGGGGACUUGACUACCCACCUUUCACUGCCUACCAAAGUUUCAUUCAUGGCCAUCUUCUUCGAUUCUUCCAUCCUCAUUCCGUUGCUCUUCUCACUUCCAGAGGCCAUGAGUCCUAUCUUGGGUCAGCAUAUUACCCCUUUUUCAUUACCCCUUUUCACUUGCAAUGUAGUUUCAAUUCAUACCAUGCUUACAAUUCAGUGUUUGAAUUAGGUACAGGGAAAAAUUUAGAUCUAGUUCAUUGGGUGCUUUUAUCGCUUCGGUGUUCUGCAUAAUUAGGGUUUUGCAUUAAAGAUCAAAAUAGUUUAUUGAGGUGAAACACAGAUUCUAUUGGGAGAAUAAUACUAUUUAAGGAACUGUAUUUAUUCAUACUCGUUUAUGUUAGUCCUCUGUGAAGGUAGCAGAAUGCAGAAAGAGUUUGAAUAAUUUCAGGUUUUCUCAUUCAUGACUGUAUUACAAUCGGGACAACAUUUUCAGGGAUCAAAAUGAAAAUGACAGUUUAUUAUUGUAUAUAAAUGAAUUACAAACUGAUUUUGUAGGAUUGAAGUACGUCGAAACUAAACCCACUUUUUAAUAUUUAGAAUUCUAUUGAUGGCUACAAUUUUCUUAAUUUCAAUUUUGUUGCUGAGUAGUGGGUAUUUUAACUUUGAUAUUAUCAUUAUUAAUAUUUUAAGCUGUGCUUACUUCUGCAGAAAACUACUUAUGAGGUGGACAGUGUUAUCAUCCGAUGCCCUGAUAUUUUUUCCGGCUGUCCUCUAUUUUCUUUUUGUUCAUUACAACAAACCUUCAAAGAGCCGUAAAAGUGAAUUAGUAUGGCACACUGCCGCGUUAUUGCUAAGCCCUUGUUUGAUCUUAAUUGAUCAUGGUCAUUUUCAGGUUUCAAAAGAAAAUUCUUCUGUCGUUCUUGUUCAAUGCCUUUGGUUCUUUACAUAUUUUUCAGUCACUGGUUUGGUAGUGCUGUAAUUUUGAAUAUUGUAUUUUGUUGUAUUUCAGUUCAACUGCAUCAGCUUGGGAUUUACUAUUGGAGCUGUUGCUGCUAUCCUCUCUGGGAAAGAUUUUGUGGGUUCUGUUCUCUAUUGUCUAGCUCUAAAUCAUAAACAGGUUAGUCUCCUUCAUCAUUGUAUAGGUCUAUUUUUCAAAUUUUGCACAUGUGCUUAUAUUGUGAUGGUAUGGAUUUUCCUCUUGUAGUACUUUUGGGGUUGGUGUUAAAUUGGAUGUCAAUUGGUUGCGUUCUGCAGAUUAUAUUUGUUUUUUCUUGGUUGAUUCUUAUAAUUAAUUACUUUGCAUGCCCUAAAAUUGUAUCCUGAAUUGCUGAUGCACUUAUACACUAGUUCAAACCAAAUGAAAUUUCUAAAUAUUUUACCCUGUCAAUUUAAUGACUUUGUGACUUUGCUAUUUUCUAAAAUUUAAUUCACAAGUACCAAUAAUUUUUUGGCUGUGUUGUUGAAUAUGAUCCUUAGUUGACAAAACCAUAUAGUUGUCAGAGAAAUGGCAAAUGGUAGUAAUGGAUUAGGUUGUUGUGUUGGUUAAUAAGCUAAGAAGAGAAUGUACUCUAUCUAAAGUAGUGAUUGCAUCUGGUCUCAUGUUUUUGGUUUACUCUUCUUCAGUGACUGUAAUUAUUUUAUGCAUAUAAUUUUUUUCAGAUGAGUGCAUAUUUUGCACCUGCAUUUUUCAGCCAUCUACUAGGAAAAUGCCUGAGGCGAAAACAUCCAAUCCUUGAGGUGUUAAAACUUGGGUUGUUGGUUUUAGGAACAUUUGCAGCUGUGUGGUGGCCUUAUCUAUAUUCAACACAAUCCGUUUUAGAGGUAACAAUGUUGUCAUUGCCUGGUUCAAAGUGCGUUGUAUUCUUAACUUGUAAUUUUGUGUCAUAUUCUUACAUGGAAGUUAAUAAUAUUGCCUUUACUGUCUUGUUUCCCAUGAACACAAGUUUUAGAAUUUUUACCUUCAUUUAAUUUUCAUUUGAUCGUCCAGAAAUUGGUAGGGCAUUUUGGAGUCAAAAUAUUUAUGUCGCUCCUGACUUUUGCUUUUGUUAUUCAUCCGACCUGUGUGAAAUCUGGCUUGGGCUAUACUAAAUUUGCAUGACAUGACUGGGUUUCAUCUUGAAGGCUACUGUUGUUUACAUACAUAUAUAUAUAUAUAUAUAUAUAUAUAUAUAAAUAUAAAUAUAAACAAAACCACAUGUACAAAACAUUACACCAGUAUCAAACAAAACAUUAUACAGUUGAGCCUGUUAAUAAUAAUAACAUUUUAAAGACUUUCUAGACUCAUUCUAACUAGUACUACAGACGACAUAAAUUAAUGCACCCGUACAUCAAGCUGCAACCAAUAUAGCUCAACUCCAACCUUGAUAGAAGCUCAAGGGAAACCCAUUUAUAGCAGAAACACAGCACUUUUGCUGCUCGCAAUUUUUGUGACAGCACAUUGCAAUCUUGUUCAUAUAAUUCAGCUACUGUGUUAGAUCAUUUCCACAGAAAUCAUCCUCAGGCCAAUGCUGGUCUUUGACAAAAACAUGCAUGCUUGUGCCUUUGUUCAUUAUGUGGACUCUCAUCUUGACUCCUUGGUUUCUCCUUCCACCAAGCCUUUCAUGUGAAUGCCUUUUUCACUUUCUUUCAUGUGUACACACUACUGUACUCGUCACCUUGUUUUUCAUGAACGAACUGUGAGCUGUUUCCAAGAAAGAACUUUGAGUUGCUUUCACUGAUAUUCUGUUGAUCAUCGAAGGCUACUGUAAAUUGAUUCACCAUCUGUACUGUCAGAAAGCUUUUUGAUGUGGAUAUAUAAUUGGAUAAUUUAUUUCUAUGACACAAUCUUGACUCUUUGAUCAUGUUCUCCUAUGUAUCUCGUUGGACCCUAUGAUCUUGACUUUAAGUGUGCGUAUUCCUGAUUAUGCUACAUCUUUGUGGCCUGUGUGCCAAUUGUGAAAUCAAUGAACUAUCCUAAAUAAUUGUUUUGUUUCCUGAUUUUCGUUCAAAAUUCUUUAGAUAUUUAUGAAUUAGUAAUUUGGUAAUGGCAUGUGUCCUUUGUGCUGUCUGUUCAGUAGUCAGUAAUCAGUAUACUAAUUAAGAAUUGUCUUUGUUUUAAAAAUGCCGUCCAAGUUGCUUGGGUACAAAAGUAACAAAAAGUUUGGCAUCGGCUACUGAACAAGUAACACGAGCCUUGAAUAUGUCUAUUAGAAGGGACGUCUCCAUGCAUUCUGGAUCACAGAUGAAGUAUUAAUGUCAUUUAGUGUAUAUUUAAAAUAAAGGAGCAGAUCUAUGGAAUUUCUAGAUUGAAAGUUUGCAACUAAAGCUAGGAAUGUGAAGCCUUAAAUGAGGUAUUAGCAAUAGGUCUAAAGACUGAGGGAUAUAUGUUGAUAUGCUGUGGUAUAAGUUUAAACUAGCGGUGGGUGUUGAUUGAUACUUUAAAUUAAAGAACAGAGAUGCCUUUUCAAUUAUUUUCUGAUCCUUAUAAAGGACUCUUGUUAUUUGCAUGUGGCACUUGUGACACAGGUCCUCUCCCGUCUUGCUCCAUUUGAAAGGGGAAUAUUUGAGGAUUACGUGGCCAACUUUUGGUGUGCCUCUUCAGUUCUCAUCAAGUGGAAAAGAUUAUUCACAAAAGAGUCUCUGAAGCUUAUCAGCUUCACCGCAACAGUUAUAACAUGUCUUCCUUCAAUGAUUCAGCAAAUAAAGUCUCCCAGCUAUCGAGGUUUCCUUUAUGCGUUGCUGAAUAGUUCUUUCUCGUUUUACUUGUUUUCUUUUCAAGGUUGGUAGUAUUUCUUUUCUUUCAUUUUCCAGAGUUGUAAAUAUUAAGAAAAAGCUUAUGAGAAAUUGUCUCUUCCCCUUUUUGCCCUUACAGUUCAUGAGAAGUCUAUUUUGCUGCCAAUUCUUCCAGCAACCCUGCUGGCUGUUGACGAGCCUUUUAUUUUCAAGUGGUUCACACAAUUCGCCAUGCUCUCCAUGUUUCCUUUGAUAUGUCGGGAUAACUUGGUUGUUGCAUAUUUGGCUUUACUUGCCGUGUUUGUCGUGAUACUCAAUGCACCCGUUCAACACAGAGUAAGAGAGACUAAUUACCUUAAUAGUUCAUGGGGCUCAGCAACCAUGUUCUUUAUUUUAUGCUGCUAUUUUGUUCUUCAUAUAUUUUAUUUGACCAUGCAUCCUCCUGAGAAGUAUCCUUUCCUUUUUGAAGCAAUAAUUAUGAAUCUGUGCUUCUCUCAGUUUGUUCUUGUAACUCUUGCCUGCAAUAUAAAGCAGUGGCUGUCAAAUAAACCUGCCAAAUUAGAAGAAAUAGAAAAGAAGCUCAUUUGACAUGUUUCAUUUUUUAAGUUAGGUUGACAGCUCUUGUUAGACAGUUGGAUUUGGAGGUGCAUGUUUGAUACUUUUCAGCAAUGUUUUUCAGAAAUUAAAUUUAUGGAGAGUUUGACCUGCAUUAACUUCAACCUUUAUGAUUUUAUAAUUUUUGCACUUUACUUUUCACUGCCCUCUGGUUUCAUUUGGUUCUUUUUCCAUGUGUAUAUUUUCUCAGCUUUUGUUGGUGCUACAAAUAAACCUUUUCAUGGUCGUCGUGAGUGGGAGGGGGGUAAGUUGAUGAAAGUACCAUUUGUUAGAGAGCUAAAAAUCUGUAGAUAGAACAAAAUAAACAUUUACAUUUUCCAUUCAUACAUUAUAUAACAAACCUAGUGAAUUGUAAUUAUACAUGUCUCAUUAGUUUUUUAAGAAAAAUUAGAAUAAAAUUCAAUGAUAUUAAAAUGUUAAUCUUCUUUCUCUUGGCCUCUAAGUUGGUCUAUGAAACUUACACCAACAAGAUCCUGCAAAAGUUGCACGAUGCAGGAUCUUCUUAGAACAUGAGUUAACUGUAACCCAAAAUCUCUGGACACAUGUAGCAACCAAAUCUCUCAUUGGUUAACCUCAAAAAAACUUCCGUAUUUGCAGAGAUACUUGAGCAAAUAAUUGAUCAUUUGUAAAAGGGAAGUGCAAAGCUGCUAGAGCUACCUUAUUUAUUUUGAAAGGAAACCAGUUCUUGUCUUGGAUAGAGUUGUUAAAAUUAGUCUAGAGCUACCUUGUAGAUUGAACUAGUGAAUCACCAAUGGAAUUGCACGAACAAGUGCACAGUAAAUAUUUAAAUUAUGUAUUGAAGAUAGUAUAUUUAAGUUACAUUUUAUUCACAUAUAUACUUAAUAUUUUGUUUUGGCUGCAUUCUGUAGAAUACAUGCCAGCUGCAAGUUGUUGUUGUCCACUUCUACCCAAAUUUUCUAGCAUUCCUUUUUGUGAGUGACCAUUCUAAACCUAAAUGCUUAUUUUACCCACUCAAAAUGUCUAUUAUAUAUACAUAUAAUUUAAUUUUUUUUCCAGUUUAUUUCAUAUACUAACAUUAAAUCAUAAAAAAAGUCGAUAUAUUAAAUUCAUUAAAUAAAGUCAAACAAUAUGAUUAAAUAUUCUAUGAAUUUAAUAUUAUAUCUUUUUAAAUAGAUAUUGCUGAUAAUUUAUUUAUUGCAUUUAAUGACACAUCUUUAAUAUAUAUUAUUUAUUGUAUUUAUAAAACUUUAAAUUUUUCAAAAGGAUUUAAUUGACACGUAUUUGGACAGAUAUGAUAUGUGUUGUCACUGAUGAGAUCUCUUCUAUUUUUGUUCGGAUGAUUUUUUUUAAUAAUCAUACAGUAAUACCAUUUCUGGUAACAAUUUUUUUUAUAUACACAAUUUUAUACUUAAUUUUUAAUCAUAAUAGAAAUGCGGAGAUACAAUCCAGUUAUUAAUGAAAAUAAUUAUCGAUUUAUUUUGUAAUUAGUUUUUAUAAAAAAUAUUUAAAUUAAUUAAUUAAUUAAAAGUAAUUACAAUGUAAACAGUUCUUAUAUAUAAUAAUCUAAAUUAUAAAUUGCAAUAGCAAAAUUAUUAAUUUUAGAAUAAUAUUUUAAAAACUAUAUUUAACAUAAAUGUUAAUCAUUCAAUAGUGUAUAACUUUUAUCCAAUUAAUCAAAAUUAAACCCAUCUUUUUAAUAUUAAAAUUUAUGAUGCAUGAAUAUUUUUAGCAAAAUCAGUAAAUGCACCUUAAAACUAUUGUGAAAUCUUAAAAGAAAAUAAUAUACAAUAAAUUCAACUAUUAUUUAUAUUCUGAUUGAAGUCCCCACCAACCCCACAAUUAUUAUGAAAUGGAAAAACAUUGAAUUAUAUUUAUUAUUAUUAUUAUUAAUAUAUUAUACAUAAUUAGAGGGUCUGAUUGAGAAAAUUGUAUUAUAUAUUAGUGCCUCAGUUGAAAGAAAUUGUGUCUCAUUCACAACUUUGUAACAUAUUUUGUUGGUGUGUUUGAUCCAUGGUAAUGGUGAUCAUCACAACCCUUUUGGUUAUCUUUGUGAGUCUGGUACUGAAGUGUGCCUAUGAGACCAUUUCAUGUUACUGGUUCACUCCAAUGAGCAUAAGGAAGAUGAUGGAGAAACAAGGUGUUCAUGGUCCUAAACCUAGUUUUCUUCUUGGCAACAUCAUAGAAAUGAGUUCCCUUGUUUCAAGAGCAGUUUCUCAAGACAUGAAAACUAUCAGCCAUGAUAUUGUUCCUCGUAUUUUGCCUCAUUUUGUUCAGUGGUCCAACCAAUAUGGUAUGUCUCUUUUACUAUAUAUCUCACCAACACAUUAGAAUGAAUGUGAAAUUUUAUUAUACACACUCUCAUAUGCAUCCAAUUUUUUAUAUUGGAUGUGAAAUUUUAAGGAUUCUACAUGCUAAGACACAAAUAUGCAAGUAAUUUGUUUUCUAUGAGAAUAAAAAAGUGAUUCCAAACAUAAAUUCUUUUACUCUUAACCUUUGAUUGAAAUUUGUUCCUAUACAAUAUAGUCUUAUAUGCUAUGGUUUUGAAAAAGUGAAAUAUUAAGAAUAGUUAAUUAUGAUUAAUUUUAAAUAAAAUCAAUUGUUAUCAUACAUCUCCUGUUUCGUAUGUAAAUGCAUGAUCCAUAUUAAAAAAUUUGUGGUGGUAUGAUAAGUUUAAAAAAUUAGGCAACAAAAUAUUAAAAUUGUGAAAAAUAAAAAAAUAUUAUGGAUAGGAAAUUUUAUUCACAAUUGAAGAAGGAUUUGCGAGAAAGUAUAUAAUUGCUUAUAUUUUAAUUUAGUAUAUUAUUUCUUUAAUCAAAUAUAAUUUACCUUUUCAUUAUAAUAAAAUAAAGAAUUAAAAAAUAUUAAAAUAAUAAAUAAGAUAAAUUUAUUAAUUUAAAUUUUGAUAUUUUGUAAAUUAAUUUAUUUUAAUAUAUUUUUAUUUUGGAAUAUAAUUUUUUUAUUUAUUAAAGUUUUANNNNNNNNNNNNNNNNNNNNNNNNNNNNNNNNNNNNNNNNNNNNNNNNNNNNNNNNNNNNNNNNNNNNNNNNNNNNNNNNNNNNNNNNNNNNNNNNNNNNNNNNNNNNNNNNNNNNNNNNNNNNNNNNNNNNNNNNNNNNNNNGUUCCCAAGUUUUUUUUUUUUUAUCUCAUCUUAUAAGUUAUGUAUGGGUAGACAUACAUGUGUUCUCUAUUUCUAUGUUCAUAUCGAUAACAUUAAUGGGAUUAAAAAUGAAAACAAGUUAAUUUAAAUAUGUUGUUGUAUGUACAUGUGUAUGCAGAAGUGUGUGUUAAUCUUCUGUUUGUUCAUUUUGUUAUUUGGGUUUACCAUGACGAUGUAGGAAAGAGAUUCUUAUACUGGAAUGGAAUAGAACCAAGGUUGUGUCUAACAGACACUGCACUCAUAAAGGAAUUUUUAUCAAAGUACAACUCCAUAUCUGGGAAAUCAUGGCAACAACAACAAGGUUCCAAACAUUUCAUAGGGAAAGGGUUGUUGAUGGUCAAUGGUGAAGAUUGGCACCACCAACGUCACUUGGUUGUUCCUGCAUUCAAGGGAGAGAGACUUAAGGUAUAUUUUAGCUCUUUACACUAUUUAACCAGUCACACAUCAAAACUUUUUGCUAAUUAAUCAAUAUACUUUUAGGUUCUGUCUUUUAAAAAUCUUCUGUUUGUUUUUUCUUGGCUUACUUUAUCUGUGUGCCUAUAUCUCUGUUUCAUUUCAUCAAGUUUCUUAAUGUCUUAAUCAUGGUACCAAGUUUAUGGUAAAGAACAUUUUUUUAAGCUACACACAAGUUGAAGGUUUAUUUUAUGAUUUUCAUCUACCAACUUAAAAAAAUAUUAAAAAAAUAAUAAUUAUUAAAUUAUACAUAAUUAUUAUACAAUAUUAUACAUAAUUAAUUUAAUAAUUAUAAAAUUUUAUAAUUAGCGGAUAUAUUAAUGAAUUCUUAAGUUUUCAUAAUACACUUGCACAUUAAUGAAAAAAAAAAUAUAUUCAUUUUUCUUCCCAUCUUCUUAUAAAAUUUUCUUAUAAAUCCCAAUCUGUUUUUCGUAUUCCCAUACAUUUCCACUCUCUGAACAUCUUUUAUUUUCCCAAAAUAAUAGUCUAUUACAGUAAAUAAUGUCAUCAUCAGAAUUACAAAAAAGGUUAUGAAUAGUAUUUUUGUCUUCUGCUGCUCUUGUGCCCACUAUUUCUUUUCUACUGCUUGGUCCUUGUUUCUUCUUACUCGAUUCGCCUUCCAAGGAGAUGGACCCAACAGAGUUUCAAAACAGAACAUUAUCUUGUAAUUGAAACUGUUUAUCAUUCGUUAUAACUUUUAAUUAAGUUGGAGAUUUGGAUCUCAGGUAAUAUAUUGCUAUUUCUUUCAUGUUUUUGUGCAUAAAACUUGUAGCAGAUAGAAUUUUUCACUUAAUCUAUGUGUUCAUGCUUGUGUGUUGUUCUAUCAUUCAUCCUUUUAAGUGUGACUGGUUUGAAUAGAAAUUUAUAAAAAAUUAUAAAGAUGUGAGGUUUGAUUGGCACAAAAUUGAAGAGUUUAUAACAAAUUUGAAGGGAUAAGAGUGAUAUUGAAUAGAAAUGAUUGGAGAUGGAGAUUUAAUGUGUAGGGCUAUGGUGGGUACAUGGUGGAGUGCACAAAGGACAUGCUUCAGUCAUUGAAAAAUGCAUUAGAAGGUGGAGAAAGUGAGGUGGAGAUUGGAGAGUAUUUGACUGAACUCACUGCAGAUAUUAUCUCAAGAACUGAGUUUGGCACAAGCUAUAAAAAGGGAAAGCAAAUAUUUUAUCUCCUCACACAACUACAGACUCGUGUUGCCCAAUCAACUCGCCGUCUUCUCCUUCCUGGAAGCAGGUAUGUCAAUCUCACUUUUUCAUUUUUCACAAUGAGAUCUCUUUUUUUUACCGUAGAUUGGAAUAUGUAAAAUAAAUAAAUAAAUAUAUAUGAAUCAGUUAAGGGUCGAUCAAAUCUAUGUAUAUACCAAUAAUUCUAUUAAAGAAAUGAAACCUUACCGUAUAAGAAAAUCAUGAAAUAAAAAUUAAUUUUAGAGAUAAAAAAAUUAGUUGUUAUAGUGACUAAAUUAGAGACUAAAAACAAAAUUUUGAUUUCUAAAUUAGUUUAUAUUAUUUUUAAAUGGUUUUUAAAUUGGUAUCUAAUUAGACAAAGGUUUUUGUUACCAAAUUUAGAAUCUAAAUAAUUGGUAGUUAAAACUUUGAUAGCUCAUUAGAUAACAAUUUAGAAACUAUUUAAGAAUAAGAGAAACUAAUUUAGAAACCAAAAUUUCUAAUCUAUAAAAUGGUCUCUAAUUUAGUCAGUAUAACAACUAAUUAUUUUUUGUCUCUAAAAUUGAUUUCUAUUUCAUGAUUGUCUUGUAGUGUUAUAACUUUGUUAGAACCUACCAACUCAACCAUUAAAGACACCUAAAAGGAUAGUACCAUCAAACCAAACUACUCAAACUAAUAAACUACUAAGAGUUUACAUCAUAAGCAAACAAGUAAACGGAUCAAGAUACCAAUAAAAAAAGGAAAAAUAAUCAGAAGCAAAAUUAGAAGUAAUCCAAAAUCAAGUUUUUAAUUGAGUCAAAAAAAAAGAUUUCAGAAUGAUCAAUCAGUCUCCUAAAAAAGAUUAAAGAUAUAUGAUCCUAGUUCCCAUGUGCCUUUUUUUCAAUGUAAACUUACACCAUUUACGGUGAAAUUGAUAUGUUAUAGGUUUUUCCCAAACAAAUACAAUAGAGAGAUAAAGAGAAUGAAGAAGGAGGUGGAGAAACUCUUAAAGGAGAUCAUAAAGGGUAGGGCAGAUUAUGUGGAGAUGGGGAGAAGCAAUUCAUGUGGGAAUGAUUUGUUGGGAAUACUCUUGGAUGAGAUGAAGAAAGAGGGUGGAAGCUUGAAUCUUCAACUAGUUAUGGAUGAAUGCAAAACAUUUUUCUUUGCUGGACAUGAAACCACUGCACUCUUACUUACUUGGACAGUGAUGUUGCUAGCUAGCAAUCCACAUUGGCAAGACAAAGUCAGAGCUGAGGUUAAAGAGAUAUGCAAAGGGGAAACUCCAUCACUUGAUCAACUCUCCAAGCUCACUCUGGUUAGUAUCAAAUUACUAUGUUUUUCUCCGAAUAUAAUUCUGUAUUUCUUUUUUUUAUAUAUAUAUUUAAGUUAUCACUACAAAAGAAAAUUAUUAAAUAAAAAUUUAUUUUAAAAAUAAAAAUAAUUAACUACUAUAUUAAUUAAAUUAAAUACAAGAAAAUUAUUAAAUAAAAAUUUAUUUUAAAAAUAAAAAUAAUUAACUACUAUAUUAAUUAAAUUAAAUACUAUUUUAGAGACUUAAAAAAUUAUUGAUAUCUAAAUUAGUUUUGAACAGCUAAAUAAUUUUUAAUGAAUAUCUAACUAACCACCAAUUACUUAGAAAGUUGAUAGUUAAAACAUUAAUAACUAAUUAGAUAUCAAUUUAUAAAUUAUUUAUCAAUAAUAUAAACUAAUUUGGAUGUAAAUAUCUUUUUAAUCUCUAGUAUAUAAUUUAGUUAAUAUAAUAAUUAAUUUUUUUUUUAAAUUAAUUUUUAUUUAAUAAAUAGGUAUACUUUAUUAAGGAUAUUAGUUCUCGUAUAUUCAUAGUUUUAUCAACUAAUUAAAAAUAUUUUAGAUAUGUUUUAUAAAAUAUUGUUAUAAUAAUUAAUAUUUUCAAAAAUAUAUAAUAAUGCAUCACUAGAUAGGAGUAUAAUGCAUAAAGUUUAAAAUUUUCCAAACUCAAUAGAAUUGAAAAAUAUUAUAUUGAAUGAUUUUUCUCCAUUAUUUCUGUAUAUUUAAAUAUUUUUACAUUAUUUUUUCCAAAUGAUUAAAUCUAACCAUUCUAAUAAAAGGGAGUAUAUAUUGAAGAUAAAAUAACCAAUUAGAUAAAUGCAACAUUUUUUUUUACUUUAAUCUUACAAGGCAAUUUCUUUCCGAUGCAAGUUACUUGGUAAGCCCAGCCCAAAUAGCCAAUGAUUUAUGACUCUAUUUUUAUUGUUUACUUGAAAAUUUGUGUUCUUAAAAUAGCAUAAAAUUUAGGGACAAUAUAAUAAGUUUUAUUAUUUUGAUAAUCAUCAUACCAAAGGAUUUUAUUAAAUAUUUUAACUGAGUACAAACUUAUAUUUAAUUGUCUCUGUGUGUCUGGUAAUAGAAUACUUAGACAAAUGAAGAUAUCUUAUUGAUAUAAUAAAUAUAAGGAUAAAUAAUUUUCUUAGUAUCAAUUAAUUAUAAAAAUAUUUUAAAUAUGAUUUUUAAAAUAAUUAUUAUAAAAAAUAACAUUAUAUACUCUAUCAUAUCUUUAUAAAAUCCAUUUAACUAUUUCAGUAUUAUUAAGAAAAUUAGUUAAAUUAGUUGGUAAUAUUAAAGUCGUCCCAAAUUUACAUCUUUUAAAAAUUUAUUUGAGCAUUAAUGAUACAUACUCUUUCUCUUUUUUAAUAUUUUUAUUAAUUAUUUUUUUAAUUUUUUUUAGUUUUUAUUGGUUGUGUAUACACUAUUAAAAAAUCAUUAAAUAGAAACCAAUUUUUAAAAAAAAAAUUAUUAUAUUAAAAAAAUUAGAUACUAUUUUAUAGACUAAAAAAAUUAUUAGUAUAUAAAUUAGUUUCUAUUUUUGAUAAAUGAUUUCUAAAUUGGUAUCUAAUUUUAGAAACUAUUUAUCAAAAAUAGAAACUAAUUUAUAUACUAAUAAUUUUUUUAAUCUGUAAAAUAGUAUCUAAUUUUGUCAAUAUAACAACUAAUUAUUUUUUAUUUUUAAAAUUAGUUUUUAUUUAAUAAUUUUUUGUGUGAUAGAAUGUCUUCUAAAAUCCUCUUUACGCAACACAAAGCUACGACCAAUAGACAUAGUUUAAGAAAUAUGAAUCCCAUUAAACAGAUGACAGUAGUUUGAAAGAUUAAUCAUUAACUUUCAGUGAAAAGAUAUAUAAAAUUUUGACCAACAAAUCCAAGUAAAUGAUGUGAUAUUGCAGUUACAAAUGGUGAUCAAUGAGUCAAUGAGGCUGUAUCCUCCUGCAACUGUGCUUCCAAGAAUGGUUUUCGAAGACAUUGAGUUGGGAGACCUCCACAUUCCUAAAGGCUUAUCAAUUUGGAUUCCAGUGUUGGCCAUUCAUCACAGUGAAGAACUGUGGGGUGAAGAUGCAAAUGAGUUCAACCCUCAGAGGUUUGCUUCAAAAUCAUUCACACCUGGUCGCUUCAUACCCUUCGCUACUGGCCCUAGAAACUGUGUUGGACAAUCAUUUGCCAUCAUGGAAGCCAAGAUCAUACUCGCCAUGUUCAUCUCUCAGUUUAGCUUCACCAUUUCUGAGAGUUAUAGGCAUGCACCAGUGGUUGUCCUCACAAUUAAACCUAAAUAUGGUGUUCAAGUUUGUUUGAAGCCUUUAGAUGCAUAAUAUCUGUGUUUAAUUCCUUCUUGUUCUAGACUAUUUUAGGGAUUCUGUAUUUAGGAUAUUCCAAUAAUCUUGCAGAGUAAGAGCAUUAUGUUUUUACUGAAAAGUGGAACAUCUAUAAACUAUUAGAAAUGUGAAGUUCUUGUGUUAGGCUUUGGACUCUGAGCUUUGAAUGAGAUUGUCCAAGCAUAUAAAGGACAACUUGUAAAAAAUUAAUUCAUAUUUAAAUCAAUAAAAAAUAAUAUGAGAUGGUACUUUCUUUCAAGCCUCCGUAAAUGGAGAUAUAUAAUAGAAAAUAAUUAGGUUCAAUUGUUUAAUAUAUUUAAGAGAUUUUAUUAAGGAGUAUUGAGAAUUUAAUUUUAUUUACACUUUAAAGUUUUAAUCAUAUAUCAUUGAACUUUAAAUAUGAAUAAAUUCAUCGUUUUAAUUGAGAUUUAUUUAAUUGAGUUUAUUUGGACUUAAUUGUUAAUUAUGUAUUUUUAGAGUAGAUGAUGUAAAUGAAGUUUCUAUAACUAUGAGUGAACCAAAAUGCGAAUGUUUAAGUUGUUUGCUUGAAUAAAAAAAACAAAAUAUGGGGAGAAAAAUAAGAGAAGAAAAUCUAUAAUAUCUCUUAAACAAAAUUGGAAGCAAAUGUUCUACAAAAUACGAAGAAAUAGAAUCGUGAUAAAACUCGAAACAUGAUAUGAGAAUUCUGAAAAGUUGGAAACUAAGAAACUGUUAACAAAAUUGGAACUAGAAUAUUUUCCUAAGUUCUUGAGGUAGAAAAACCUAUAAAAAUAUACAAACUUCAAGGAUAAAUCACCAAGCUUCAGAGUGGCGUUCAAAAAAUAGAGCAUUAGGUUUUUCUUAAUUUUCUUAUUUUAUUCUUUGUAAUAUUUUUGUUUUACCUCUGCAUGAAAGACUAAAAUCCUUUGGGUUGUUUCUCUUGUAAUUUCACAAUGAAAUUUGAGGUUUUGUGCAAUGAAAAUUUUGUUCUUUAAUACCUAAUUGCGCUAAAAUGUUUGGUCUUUUCUGACUUUAAUUGUUGAUAAUUCAAUUUUAUCUUUAAUUAAAAACCUUGAGUAUACGCAUGAUGAUACAAUCCAAGUAGACAAGAUGAUGACCAACUACUCAAGAGACCAUUCACACUAUGAGCAGUCAUCUCAACAAUCAAGUCAAGACCCUACAAGAUCUAACGGACCUCUCCAGAGGAAGAACUGGCAUAAACCAGAACACCAAUUGUUCUUUCUUCAGGUCUUCUUAAAAAUUAAAACAUGUUGUAAAUAAUUUGGGCUCUCUUUAGGGGUCCAAAUAGCAAGAUAGGCUAGAGUACACUACAAGAAAUUGUUCAUUUACAUACCGAUUAUUACAUACGGAUAUUUAUGUACAAAUUUAAUUCAGUAUGCAAAUAGACAUUACAUACGGAUUUUUCUGUAUGUAAGAAUAAAAGUGAUUACAUACAAAUUUUUCCAAGCACGUAGGUGAAAAAGACGGUGAGAGAGAGAAAGGUCGCGAGAGAAAAAGAGAUGAGAGAGAGAGAAUGGUCGCAAGGAAGCCGCGAAGGACUUUCUGAGGAGGGAGGAGUGCGGGAGGAGAAGUGAAGGGCUCAAGCAACCUCGCUCAGGUGGCAAUUGCACAACCUUUUUCUUUUCCAACUUUUCGGGGAGUCAUAGAGAACUGGACAUGUUUAAGGUUUUUCAAAAAUGGGCAAGGGUGAAAUAAGUGUGUAUCUCACGAAGGCGUAAUAGGUGGGACAAAAGGUUCGGGUUUGUGCGGUUCUUUGAUGUCACAAAUGUGACAAGACUGGAAAGGGAGCUAGACCAAAUAUAUAUAGGAAAUAUGAAGUUGUAUGUCAAUAUUCCUAGGUACAGUAGACCUGUACUUGAUCUUGCAUCUGGCCCAUCUAGAGAGGUUAAAAGGCUUUAUCAUCCUAAGCCGACUUUUGACAAGACAGAGGAGGUGAGAAUGGAUAAGAAUGGAAAUGAGGGUUGUUAGUGGCGGUUUGUAAGAAAUGAACAAGGAAAAUGGAAAGAGAUCUUGUAAUCGAAAUACAGGUUGGAUACAAACUGUAGUCAAGUUCAUAUGAAUUUCCAGUCAUGGUGGUGGAGAGAUCUUUCCAAAAUUUGUUGUGGUUGGUUCCAAGAAGGUUUACUAUGGAAAGUUGGUUCCGGGGAUAAAUUUAGAUUUUGGGAGGACAAUUGGAUUGGUGGUAGCCAUAUCCUCAGUUCGAUGUAUCCUAGACUUUAUGCUCUAUCUUUGGAUCAGGGGAGGACAGUGGGAGAGGUAGGUGUUUGGGCUGAGUCAACAUGGAAUUGGCGGUUAAGAUGGAUAAGAGUCAAGUUUGUUUGGGAAGUUGUACAAGAGGAAGAAAUGGUUAGUAAAAUCUCUAUGUGGACAGGACAUACAGGUUUGGGGUGAGGAUAUUUCAGGGGAGUUCUCUGUGAGAUCAGCUUAUGAGUGUCUUGCAGCGCGAAACCCAGGAGAGAACCACAAAUUUUUCAAUCAGUUUUGGCAAGCUAAAUCUUUCCCUAAUGUUCGCCCUACUACAUGAAGGAUUCUAUUGAAUAAAAUGCCAACAAGGAGUACUUUGAUUAGGAGAGGGGUGGUUGUUAAUUCUAUUGCGUGCGAGAUGUGCCAAGAUUUGGAAGAGACGACUCAACACCUUUUCUUAGAUGUACAAUUGCUCAAAGGGUAUGAUCAGUGUGUUAUAGAUGGUUAGGUAUCCUGUUUGUGCAAAAUAAGGAUUUGAAGACUCACUUUGAAAAUUUCUACUUGGGUCAUAUGAGUGGUAAGCAUAAUCUGAUUUGGAAGGGUAUAUGGAUGGCAUUUGUGAGGGUCAUCUGGGAACAAAGGAACUCUGUCAUCUUUAAGCAAGGAAAACCUGAUGCAAAAGAAAUCUUUCAUUUAGCACAACUUAGAGCAUGGCUAUGGUUGAAACACAGGGUACAAUUGUUCAAGUACUCGUUCUCAGAUUGGCACUUGAAUUUGGAGCAAUGCAUUAAAAACUACAAGUAAUAUAGAAGGUUUGUAGCAGGUUGGAAAGGGGCUUAAUAGGUGUUGUCGGGGUUAUGCUUUGGAUAAUCUCCUAGUUUUAAACAUGCUUUCCUGCAUUGGCAACUGCUAUGCCUCUGGAUGCAUGAAAAAGAAAGGUUUCUUGACAGUAGCAGGCUUGCUUUACUACUACUAGGAUGCUCUUUGGUGUUAAUAUCAAUAUUAUUAUUACAAUUAUUAUUUAUGCCUAUUUUUAUUAAUGUUAGAAACAAACUACAGUGGGUGGGACUCGAAGUCAAGUUCCUUGAGUGACCAAAGAAGCUUUAAUUACUACACCAGACAAGUUCUUUUGUCAUAUUAUGAUUUUUAUUAUACUUCAAGUGGCGGUCCUCCUCACUUAUCUUGGAGAAUCCACACUCCAAGUGGCGUGUUCACUCUUGUCCAUCAUCAUAAGCUUUCUUUCCUUCAUCUCUUUUUCCAUUUUCUAUUACACCAUUGUUCAUUGUGUUUAUGUUCUUGUUUUGUUCUUCCAUUUUCAAUUCGGUUCCAUUCAUCUUAAUUGUUUCUUCUUUUAUAUCUUUCAAUUCUGCAACUGUACAUCAUCUUCACUAUAUAUUGUGUUUUUCCUUUUGCCUUUGGAAGUGAAUCUUCACACUUACUUAACCACUUGGUUAAGUUUGUGUCAUGUGGGGAUCUUCCCUAGGUCUCACCUUAUCAUUGCUAAAAUCCAAAUCAUAAACAAAGUGUCACCCUUAAAAUGGACAAAUCUAAAAUAAACUCAUAUCACAUGAAGACGAGUAAGGUACUACUGAAUAAUUAGUGGAAUGAGAUUUGAUUGUCUUUGAGUGACACAUGUUUGGUCAAUUCAAUUUUUUUUAGAUGAUUGAAUGAAUGAUAUAUUUACCAACUAAUGAAGAAUUCAUUGUUGGAAAGGUUGAGAGUCAACCUACUUCCUUUCACUAUUUUAAUCUCUACUCUGCACAAUAAUCUCAAUCUCGCUUUUACUUUAUUGUUAUUGUUAACUUUUAUUGUCUAUGAAUAGAUAUGAACACUAAUUUACUGAUUUCACUAUUGGAUUCAUUGGGAGAUGACGUGGAGUCAUCUGACCUUAUCUAUACUAUCAUCUGUUUGGUGUUAGACGACCUAGCAUUGUGGUAGACAAUUUUCACUUAAAUCAUUUUAAUUUGUUUUUCAAAUGACAACUAUCAAGCAUAUAACUAACUUGUUGUUGUUCAUAGAGAAAUUGUCAAUAUAAUUUAUGUGAUUAUUGCUUCAUUUCCCCUUAAAUUCCCGAGAAUAACACAAAAUUGGGAAUAAAUCGUUCAUAUUCAUCUUAUAAUCCAAAAAACAUGUAAAAAGGUUAAAAAUUCUAAAUUAAAAGUUGAAUUAUAACUAUUAUAUCAAUUAAAGUUUAUAAGUGUUUGUCUUUUUGUAUGAAAUAUUUCACUUAUCAUUCAAUAGGUUGAUAACACGAAAUAACAAGCUAAUUUCAGUUACAGUAUAAAUCAACAACUUGAAACAAAUUGACUUUUCGAAAUAACUUGUUGAUUUUACUAAACAUAAAAAGAACAACUUUAAAAACAAAAAACUUUUUAAAAGAAAGAAUAUUUUGAAAACAUAGUUUAUCUUUACAAAACAGAAUAGACUAGAUGAGAAAAAAAACAAAAACGGUUGAAAAGCUUAAGUGAUUUUAAUUUGUUGAUGCGAUAAAUCAAUUAGUUAAAUAUACUUAUAUAGUCCAAAUGAACUUCCUAAAGACAAUUUUUAACAUAUUAAUAUCUCAGACAACAAGUUGAAAAACAAAACGGAUUUUAAAGCAAACUCUUUAAAAAACAAUCUUGGAGCAGACUUGGAUCAUAAUGCAUGAUUAAGAAGAAAUAACAAAAGUACAUCAAAAUAUACCUAGACACACACAUAAUCUGUGUCAUUCAAUAUUCAGUGUAGGAUUUGGAAACAUCAAAUAAAGGUUUGACUUAAACUUCAAGGUCUACAGAAAGAUCAUAUCAGGACAUAAGAUAGGGUACUUUCUCCAUCUAGCUUUGUGAUGUCAAGGAAUAAUAUCUUCAUCCAUGAAUGUGAUAGAUGGGAGGGAAUGAGGUGGUAACAAAAUUACCAAAUUUAUACUUAGGAGAUUUUUUUUCCCUUGUUGAGCUUGAAUUGUUUCUCCCAGCUAAUCCUCCUAUUGUAGUGUUGAUUGUUCCUUUGACAUCAUCAGUGUUUUGUUGAGGUUGUUUCCUCCAUUCCUGCUCAAGUUAUGGUGUCACCCGAUCCUGGUGAUUUCCCCUACCUCAGCUAUGGAAACCACCACAUAAAACUUUGCCUCGAUCUUCCCUCCAAAUCCCUCAUCCCCAACCCCAACUUGGUUUCUCAUGCUACACAAAACGUCCCAAGGCCCUUAUUACACUAUAUUUUUUUUAUCAAGUCUCGCAUCUCAUGACUGUAACAUCCCUAUUUUAUUAUAACUAAUAACCAUAAUUUGUUUGAAAUAUCAAAAUAAAUAUAUAAACAUAAUACAAAUAUGUUUACAACUCUUUCAUAUAGUGUUUCAAAAUAUAUCCCUCUUCAUAUGGACUUUAAAUAUUUACAUAAAAUUAAAACAAAUACUCAAAAGAAAUAAACAUUUCCAAAAUCCAGCUUCUCACUAAAGAGCUUUAUCACUUUUAACAUCAUCUGCUCCCGUGUAAAUACAUGACCAUCACAGAUUAAAGACAACAAGACAGAACAAACAAGUUAAUCUAGUUAUUUUUAAAAAUUAUAAUAUAAAUAUAAAAUUAAACAUCCACAUAAAGCCAUCAAUUCUCAUGCAUUUCCACAUAAAGUGUCUAUCAUAAUUCACAAUUCAUCUUUCUCAUGUCAGACUUCUACUGACUCACAACACAUAUAUACUUGACUCUACUUCCGGAAGACUCGUGUAUUGAAAUUAACAUCCUGAGACCUACACCUGUCACAAAAUUCGCUAUGAAACCACACAACCAUGCACAUAAACAUCUCAAUAUCUCAUCAUCUCAUAUGGCAGGGUAAAUUCAUAUGACCUGAAAGACUAGAUUAUAUUUCAAACCGUAGACAAAGUCAUAUGAACUUCCUUCGACUCUCACCAACUAAAUGACUUCAUCUAUGUGAUUCCAUUAUAUCAAUAGAGUCAGGAUCAUCUCAUUAACGAGACCUAACAAAUCAAUACACUCUAAUAAUAAUCUCAACAUGGUAUUUCCUUUCCUGAAAAUACUAUGUUUUGAUCACACUUUCACAUCAUUGCAUACUUCAUUUAACCAAUACAUUAUUCAAUCACAUCACAUUUUAAACACUCCAAAUAUAUCUAAAAAUUCACUUAACAAUAAUAAGUAAUAAUAAACUAUGCUAAAUAAUAAUAAUAGUAAUUUUUUUUAUAAAUGGCUUGAGCGAAAAAAAUUUGAGUUUGAGUGAAAAUGAACCAACAUGCACCCAGGAUUUUUGGCUUGAGCGAAAAAAUUUUGGUGUGAGCGAGAAUGAACCAGUGUGCACCCAGGAUUUUCGACUUGAGCAAAAAAAAUUUGGUUUGAGUGAAAAUGGACCAGUGGGCACUUCAGAAUUUCCCCAUUUUUGCUUGAACGAAAUUUCAUCUCGUUUGAGUGAAAAUGGACUAGAAAGUACCUCAAAAAUUACCCAUGUUUGCUUGAACGACGGAAAUGGACGCGAGAGCACCUCAUAUUUUCAUUCAAAUUGUUAUUUUAUCAAAUAUACUAAACCAAAGUAACAAUUUCCCUGUUAGAGUUGGAUAAUUACCCUAAAUCAAAAUUACGCAACCAAUACUCAGCAACAUUAUCCUUUAAGUAAUACAUCAAACUAUUUAAAUAUAUUCAUUUACUUAUUCAAAUAAAAACAAUAUAGUUUUAUAACAUCUACCAUAUCUAAAAUUUCACAUUCUAAUCUCAAUCAAAUUCUAAUAUGCUCAAAACAACAAAUCCUGCAAGAAAUUUUGAUAAUGGUGACCACGUCACUGCCACAUCCAGAUCUUCUAGCAUAGGGUUCUAUUGGAAAUUUAAAACUAGCUUCCCUUACUUGAACUUGAGAAAAUGCUCACUAAGAGCUCCAAAUCCUAUAAUUGUUCAAGGGUAGCUUAACAUGCACCACAAAGUUCUGAUAAAAAAUCUAACUAUAUCAUUAGGACCCUGAACUAACAAAGACCAAUUCUGAAGAUUAAAGCAUCACAUGCAAGCUUAAACUAAAGGAAAAUCUAACCAAAUUAAAACUAACUCAAAGGAAAAUGAGUUAAAAUGAGCUAGUGCCUGUGUUCCCACUAAUAUGUAUAAAAUAUAUUAAUAAUAAUAAGUAUAAAUUAUAUUAAUAAUAAUAUGUAUAAAUUAUAUUAAUAAUAAUAUGUAUAAAUUAUAUUAAUAAUAAUAAGUAUAAAUUAUAUUAAUAAUAAUAAGUAUAAAUUAUAUUAAUAAUAAUAAGUAUAAAUUNNNNNNNNNNNNNNNNNNNNNNNNNNNNNNNNNNNNNNNNNNNNNNNNNNNNNNNNNNNNNNNNNNNNNNNNNNNNNNNNNNNNNNNNNNNNNNNNNNNNNNNNNNNNNNNNNNNNNNNNNNACAUAUUAUUAUUAAUAUAAUUUACACAUAUUAUUAUUAAUAUAAUUUAUACUUAUUAUUAUUAAUAUAUUUUAUACAUAUUAGUGGGAACACAGGCACUAGCUCAUUUUAACUCAUUUUCCUUUGAGUUAGUUUUAAUUUGGUUAGAUUUUCCUUUAGUUUAAGCUUGCAUGUGAUGCUUUAAUCUUCAGAAUUGGUCUUUGUUAGUUCAGGGUCCUAAUGAUAUAGUUAGAUUUUUUAUCAGAACUUUGUGGUGCAUGUUAAGCUACCCUUGAACAAUUAUUAAUCAUAAUAAGUAUAAUAAAAAUGGUAAUAUGACCAAAGAACUUGUCUGGUUUAGUGGUUGAUGCUUCCUUGGUCUCUAAAGGGUCUUGGGUUCGAUUCCUGCCUACUAAAGUAGUUUGCUUCCAAUAUUAAUUAGGGACUUGAGCUUUGCUAUGAUCCAAAGAACUGAUCAAUAGGGUUCUGGUGUACCGUGAUUCGAGGUUUUUUCUAUCCCUGUUUAGGUUCUUGUAAUUGUUCAAAUUACUCUCUGAAAAUUGUUGUAAAAUUCUGUAAAAUCAGUGUGAUUCUGGCUUAAGGUGUUGGUUGUGUGCAAAAAGGGUGAGUAGGCUUUGUGGGAUUAAAAGUCACCUCUUUGUGUGGUGUAUGUGUAAUCUGUAAUUGGUUGCAUAAUGAAAUACUCAGUGGUUUGACUGAGGAAUGGAUGUAGCUCUUGGAUAGAGUGAACAAGUAUAAACCUUGUGUGUAAUUCUCUCUAUCUCUUCUCUCCAUAUCUGUUUGAUAUUUUCCACUGUCAUAAACAACUAGUUGAAUCGUAAUUUUAACCGAUUAUAAUUAUGUUAUCUGUUUCUGUUUGGUAAUUUGAUUGGCUUUCUGAAUUGCUUUUCUGAGUUGAUUGUUAAGGUUUCAUUCUGAACAAAGUAUUUGUGAAAAUCUUUUGGAAACAAUUCACCCCCCCCUCUUGUUAUAGCCAUCAAUCCUAACAGAACAUGUGUGAUGAGCAUAUAUUUAUUCACACUCAAUAGCUUUAAUCAUGGAUUAUUGGACUAUAAUAAUAAAUAAAUCCGUUGUUUUAAUUAAUAUUCAUAUAAUUGGGUUUAUUAGGGCCUUAACUAUUAUCUUUGGUAAUUUUGUGUUUUUAGGGUAAAUGAUUUGAAACAUCUACCUUUGUGAAUAAAUAUACCCUAAACCCUAAACAUCUACCCUAAACCCUAAACCCUAAACCCUAAACCCAAAUAUGUAAAAGUCCAAGUUGCUUUUCUGAAUCAAAACAUAAAACAAAUUCUGAGGAGAAGAAAGAGAAAAAUAAAAUCUACAAUGUCUCAAAAACAGAAUUGGAAGCAAAUCUUCUGCAAAAUACAAGAAUUCUGGAAAGAUGGAAACUUGGAAACUGUUAACAAAAUAUAAACUGCAAUAUUUUCCCAAUAUCCUUGGAACAGAAAAGUCUAUAAAAGGACACAAGCAUCAAGGAGAAAGGGUAGAGCUUCAUAGGGUUUUCUUAGUUUAUUUUUCUCUUAGUAAUUCUUUUGUUUUGCCUCCGCAUGGAAGGCUAAACCUUUUUUGUUGAUUCCUUUGUAAUUUCCCAUUGAGUUCUGAGGUUUUGUUCAAUAAAAGUUUUGAUUUUUAAUUCUCUAUAGAAGUUGUUUUUAUUGUCUAAUCUCCUGGAAAAUUGGUUUUUGUGAGAGGUUGUAACGCAUGAUUGAGAGUCUUCCUUGUCUUAAACUUUGGUUUCUUAGUUAGUUCGCAUUGUUCUGAUUAAUUUCUUGGGCGCAUGAUUCAAGAGAGAGGAGGUAAGCAUUCCCAUGGAGUAUACGCAUGGAACAAAGUGGGUAUUGAUUAAACCAGUAGACGCAUAUUUUACUGGUGAGUUUCAGUUGAAUUAGAUUGGCGAAUGUUCAACCUGGUUUAACUAUGUUGGAUGAUUGAGAAAAGAUUAAUCUUUAGAGAACCUAUGAAGAAUUCAAUGGUGGAAGAACUUGGGGAUCAACUUCUUUUUAUUUUCUAUUUCAAUCUCUUUUACAUUUUCUGGAUAAUUAUCUUAUUUAUUACUAACUUUUCAUUACUUGUAGAUAGAUUUUGAAUUCGGUUAACUGAAUCACUAUUGGAUUCGUUGGGAGACGACUUGGGGUCAUCUGGUCACAAUUAUACUAUCAUCUCUCUAGUGUUAGACAAGUCUACGCUAGAUUUAUAUUAAUUUGAUAGCAAAGCGAAAGCUAUCAAAUUUGGCGCCGUUGCCGGGGAAUUCAAUUUGAUUUUGGUUAUUAGGUUUUUCUUUUUAUCUGUAUAUUUUUUUUUAUUUUCCUAAUUUUAUUUUUUGCAUAUUUAAAUUUUUUUUUCUUCUUAUUAGUUUUUAUUUAUUUAGUAUACUCUAAAAAACUAAAAAAAUAUAAUAUUCAACAUUUUUUUAUAAACGAAAAAAAAUUAAAAAACGAAAAAAUAAAAAUUAAAAAAAUAUAAUAUUCAGGAUAUUUUUUUUAUCUCUUAUAUCUUAUCUUUAUUUUAUUUUUAUUUAUUUUUAUUAUCUUUCUUUAUAUCUUUUAUCUUUAUUUUGUUUAGAUUUUUUUUAUUUUAUCUCAUAUAUCUUUUAUCUUUAUUUUUUGUUUUGAUUUGUUUUGAUUUUAUUCUUUUAUAUCUUUUAUCUUUAUCUUAUUUUGCCUUUAUUUUAUAUCUUUUCUGUUUUUAGUUAUUUUUUUUAUUUUGUUUUGUCAUCUUUAUUUAUUUCUAUUUUUGUUUACUCUUUUUAUUUUCUAUAUUUUAUUUAUUUAUUUAUUUAUUUUAACAUACUUUUUUUUCUCUAACUAUUUUUUUUAAGCAUUAAGUGUAGCAUUUGCAUUAGUUUUGUUUUUUAGGAUCUUGCAUUUAGGGUAGACACUUCAGUUGCUAUUCUUUGAUUUUUUAAUAUUGAAAGCAAUUUAGGGAAGACUCUGGCUAGGAAAGACUUGGUUUCUAAGUUUAUCCACUUGUGACUCACCUCUCUUUCCUGGGAGUUUACUUGGUUUGCUUUUCAAUUUAAAAAAAAAAAAGAGAGAGUUUGCUCUAAGGCGUGUAAUAGGUGUUGGUGUCCAUAAUAUACAUCCCUUGUUUUCAAUUCUAAAAUGGAACGGAGAUUUGCUGAACAAAUUUACAAUUAUGAUAUUCAUUAUGAGCCAUAUUUUCAACAACCUCAACAUUUUAAUCCAUAUUGUCAGCAGCCUUAUGAGCAACCUCAACAACAACCAUAUUAUCAACAAUACUAUUUUGAUGAAAUUGAAACACCUUUUCAACCAUUUUUGCAAACUGAUAAUAUUACUCAUAAUCUUGAAGAGUCAUCUUUAGAGGAGCUGGUGAGACAAUUAAUGGUAAAUACAAUGAAAUCUUAGCAAAACAUAGAUGCUACUCUAUCAAAAUUAGAAGAGAAAGUUGGUCAGUUGGCUAGACAAUUUGAAGAUAUUUCUAACAAAAGUUUGAAUUCACAUCAUGAUCCUAAUUUAGAUAUAGAAAAUUUUUCCAACUUUGAUACAAGCUAUACUUGUGAUCCUGAUAUAUGUGUUGAGAUUAAUUUUGCCAUGCCUCCAGUUUCCAUUUCAUUUGCAAGAAUAAAACCUUAUCCAGACACUCCCGAAGUGCAUAUGACUACUGAAGACACAAAGGAUUUUGAUGAUACAUGUGCAACAUGUUCUGUGAUGAACAAAUGCAUAUCCUCUGAUGAUAUAAUUUGCAGUGCAAACACUGUUGAUUUGCAGGUUGUUAGGAUCUCUGAACCAUUACCAACUAAUGUCUAACCUCCACUGAUGGAGGAAAAUUCAUUGCUUAAUCAAGAGGCAUUAGACUCUACGACACAUGCUAAUAAAAAUCAUUUUGUGCAUCAUAUAAACACUGAGGAUGAAAAUGUGCUUGAACUUUUAGGAGAUUUUAACUUCUCCAAUCCAGUUGAAUGUACAGAGGAUGAGAUAGACGAGUUCUUAAAAUGCACUAACCCUUGUGAUGCAUGUCUUGAUACAAAAGUUGUUGAUGUUGUUAUACUUGUUGAAUCUACUAAAAAAGAUUACGCACUAGCAGAUGGCUCUAACAGGGUUUUGGAGGUAAUACAAGAGGAGGAAGAGUUGACAUUGGCCAUCUUUCAGGUAGAUGCUGCUAGUGGAGAAGAAGAUGAUAUUAUUCUUCAAUCCUUGAAGCUUCAAAGAAUACAACCUCCAUUAUUUAAGGUGAAGCCCAUAUCACUCAUUCCAUAAUCUCCAUUGGUUACACCUUCUACCAUAAUUGGAACAUUUGAAAGCAGCCUUUACCAGCCACCACCACCUCCUAACUUACAUUUCAUUCUAUCUCCCACCCCAACUAGACUGUCUACCCUAGCUAGACUGUCUAGCCUUAGACCACUACCCUUAGAUGACCCCCAAAAAGCUAACCAUAUCAGAUCGUCUAUGAUGAAUAUAUUUUUGUCUUCCAUCUAUACUCUAGAAAGUACCAUCAUCCAUUCAUGGAAGAAACUGUACCAUUUCACACGCCCUCCAAACCUACCCGAGUUCCAUCCACUAUUUCAAGGCUUCUUCAUCAUAAUAUUUUUGUUACAUAGUUUACCAAGGUACUGCAUGCUCUGGUUAGAAGAUCCAGUUGAUAGUGUUUCUACACCACUAUGGAUGAAAAGUCUUGGUUUGUACUGUAGAGGGGAUGGUUGAAACAACUGCAACUGCCACUUCCCUCAAGCUAAAUGAGGGAGUACUUCUUCUCGCACUUUUAUCGUACACAUUUAUUUAUUGAUUUUACAUUGAGGACAAUGUGUGAUUUAAGUGUGGGGGAGGAGAAUCAUAGUUUAGGAUUUAUCUUUUGUGUUUUUUUGUUUGAAUUUCUUUUUGCUUCUGUUAAAAUAAAUCAGCUUUUUAGGAUGGUCUAAUGGCUGACAUGUUUUAUAAUUCUUGAAAAUCUUGGCUUCUUGAUAUUUUUGUUUGGAUUUUCUUAAAAAUUGAUAAAUAAGUUAUUAUGAGAAAUUUUGGGUUGAAUCUUUUGAUAAAUUGUCCCUAGUGAGUUUUUGAGCCUUAAUUAAUAUAUCAUUUAAUUUAUUUAUUUUUAGUGUGUUUUCACUCAUGUUUGCUUAUACUCUAGAACUUAGCUUGAUUCUUUGUUUCACAACUGUGAUUUACAUGCAUGAACUGAUAUGAUAGAGACAUUCUUUGUGUAAAUUAACCCACUAGCCAUAUUAGCCUACCUUUAUGAUAAUCAAUUUGUUAGCCCCUGAGCCUAUAGCCUAUUUCUUGUUUUUAACCCUCAUUACAAGACUCAAAACAGAAAAACCAUGAUUGUCCCUACCUUAGAAGAUAAAGGAGCUUUGAAAUUAUUUGGGAAUAGGUUUUUGAAUAAGUGUAGAGGUGUAUCUCAUUUUCAUAAUUUACCUCUUCAGUUUUAAAGAAAACAAAGAAAAAAAGAAAAUGGAUAGAAAAACAAAGGAAUACAACAAGAAAAAGAAAAGCAAAGCAAAAAAGAAAAUAAGAGUGGAUCCUCUAAUACAUUGGAUUGACUGUCUAUUAUAUGAAAAAAAAUGAUAUCUUGAAAUAAAAAGAGGAGUUGAAUUGUCAUAAUACUUAUACUUAUUUUUAGACCUAUCGUCCAUUGCUCCUUUGUUUUUCUAUGGUUUUUAAGCCUAUUUUCCCACUUUUACCUACCUUUACCUUAGCCUCAUUAUAUCCCUUAUGAAGACCUCUUGAUCUUUGAUUGCAUGUUUUUUUCGAUUGUUGUGAAUAUUAGAGUCUUGUUAAGCAUAUGGUAGUGUUUGUUUGCAUGAGUGUUGAGUGUAAAUACAAACCCUAAACACUUGAGAGUUGGAGAGUGUCCAAUGAAGUUUUGUCAAUUUUGAUUCAACCUUUGAUUUUAAUUACCUGCUUGUAUAUUAAAAUAUAAGAAUUUCCAUUCACAUUUUUCUUGAUUCCUUGAUUUCUUAAAAUUAUAUCUUGUCUUUCAUUAUGAAUUCUUAGAAUUUUCUAUUUUGUUAUUUGCACUGUUUUUCUUUUCUUUUUAAACCUUAGAGUAUUUUGCCCAGGAGUGCAAAAGGAUAAGUGUGGUGGUAUUUGAUGAGCAUAUAUUUAUUUACACUCAAUAACUUUAAUCAUGGAUUAUUGAACUAUAAUAAUAAAUAAAUUUGUUAUUUUAAUUAAUAUUCAUAUAAUUGGGUUUAUUUGGGCCUUAACUAUUAUCUUUGGUAAUUUUGUGUUUUUAGGGUAAAUGAUUUGAAGCAUCUACCUUUGUGAAUGAGUCAAAUAUGUAAAAGUCCAAGUUACUUCUUUGAAUCAAAACAGAAAACAAAUUUUGAGGAGAAGAAAGAGAAAAAUAAAAUCUAUAAUGUCUCAAAAACAGAAUUGAAAGCAAAUCUUCUGCAAAAUACAAGAAUUCUGGAAAGAUGGAAACUUGGAAACUGUUAACAAAAUAUAAACUGCAAUAUUUUCCCAAUAUCCUUGGAGCAGAAAAGUCUAUAAAAGGACACAAGUAUCAAGGAGAAAGGGGAGAGCUUCAUAGGAUUUUCUUAGUUUAUUUUUCUCUUAGUAAUUCUUUUGUUUUGCCUCCGCAUGGAAGGCUAAACCUUUUUUGUUGAUUCCUUUGUAAUUUUCCAUUGAGUUCUGAGGUUUUGUUCAAUAAAAGUUUUGAUUUUUAAUUCUCUAUAAAAGUUGUUUUUAUUGUCUAAUCUCCUGGAAAACUGGUUUUUGUGAGAGGUUGUAACGCAUGAUUGAGAGUCUUCCUUGUCUUAAACUUUGGUUUCUUAGUUAGUUCGCAUUGUUCUGAUUAAUUUCUUGGGCGCAUGAUUCAAGAGAGAGGAGGUAAGCAUUCCCAUGGAGUAUACGCAUGGAACAAAGUGGGUAUUGAUUAAACCAGUAGACGCAUAUUUUACUGGUGAGUUUCAGUUGAAUAGAUUGGCGCAUGUUCAAUCUGGUUUAACUCUGUUGGAGGAUUGAGAAAAGAUUAAUCUUUAGAGAACCUGUGAAGAAUUCAAUGGUGGAAGAAAUUGGAGAUCAACUUCUUUUUAUUUUCUAUUUCAAUCUCUUUUAUAUUUUCUGCAUAACUAUCUUACCCCUUUUUUAUUAUUGUUGUUAUUACUAACUUUUCAUUACUUGUAGAUAGAUUUUGAAUUCGGUUAACUGAAUCACUAUUGGAUUUGUUGGGAGACGACUUGGGGUCAUCUAGCCACAAUUAUACAAUCAUCUCUCUAGUGUUAGACAAGUCUACACUAGAUUCAUAUUAAUUUGACAGCAAAACGACAACUAUCAAUGUGCAUAUCCACAACUAAAUGUAGGUCGAGGAUAUGUAUAGAUUUGCAUAAAGCUGAGUUUUGACUCCAAGAUUUGGUUGUCGAAUUUUGCUAAAGAAGGGAGAUUUAUCUCUAGAAAUUAUAAGUAUAUAACUAAGUAUGAAAACUAAGUAAGCAGUGUGUGUGAUUGAUAUAUAUUUAUAAACAUUUUUUAGUUUGGACUGAAAGAUUAUAAAAAUAUUUAAAAUAAAUAAGAAAUACUAUUAAUUAUUAAAUAUUUAUCAUUUAAUCAAUUAUUAUUAUAUAAAUAUUCAAACUAUACGAUUACAUCUAAUUUAAAUGAGUUAUAUUUUUUAAUUUAUUAUUGUAUAUCUUAGAUAUGGUCACAAAAAAUAAUAAUGUUGUAACAGAACUUGAUGAAAUGUUUUUUCUAAUCUUCUUAGUUUUUUAAACUAUACGGUCUAUAAAUUGAUUAUAGUGUAAAAAAAUUCUAAAUUAAAAGUUGUAUAAAGAAGUGAAUUUCAAAUCUAACUCAACUUUAUAAAACUCACUAAUUUAUAUGGUGAAAUUAAUAACUAUUUAUAUAUUAUAAGGGGGAUUCCUAACAAAUUCAAUAAAAUAUAUAUAAAUAUUGAGGAACAGAUACAACACUCACACAUCGUCGUGUUUGUAGAGUGAGGAAUUGUCAACUUCACUAUGGAGGAGGUAGGGAAACAAGUGUAACGUAGGUACUUUUGGAUGUAUGCCAAACUCGCUUCUAGGGUUGGAGAUGUCAUUAUGCGAGCAAGGACGUGUUUGCAGGAAAAAAUGCCUCUAGUGUUGAGGAUGUAAUACUGAAUAAUACAACAAAAGUAUAUUAACAAUUGCAUAGGACAUCCACCGGUUUACAAUAGCGUUUCUUGUUCAAAAUUUCAUUUUUUACAACAAAUUACAAAAACAUUCGCCGUUUCAUCAAUCUAUUGAUAUCAUUUUGGACAAUAUUAACAUAUAUAUUUAAGGGAAAGAAAAGAAGAGGAAGUUUCCUCUAUUUAUCAAGAUAUUAACCAUUUUGUACAACAACUCAUUCACAUAGAUUAAACCGGAAAAAAGAAAAAGAAAAAGAAAGGCUUCUAAAAAACUUGUCGUUUCACCUACAAGAUUCAAGAGAAAAAGUUGUUUUUAUCAGAAAAAACAAAGCGAGCCAUUAUUCAAGCCGAGGACUCAAGCCCUAACUCCAUCGAGUCACCGCUACU
This 64629-nucleotide long non-coding RNA is filed under the name Phaseolus vulgaris (common bean). Its description in RNAcentral is "long non-coding RNA (PVUL_LNC003344)". Lineage: Eukaryota; Viridiplantae; Streptophyta; Magnoliopsida; Fabales; Fabaceae. The record is from RNAcentral.